RNAcentral lists this long non-coding RNA (49236 nucleotides) under Triticum aestivum (bread wheat). RNAcentral's name for it is "long non-coding RNA (TAES_LNC020549)". The record is from RNAcentral. Lineage: Eukaryota; Viridiplantae; Streptophyta; Magnoliopsida; Poales; Poaceae.
ACUGAGAUGUAUCUCUCCUUACUUACCGUGGCAAUUUUGCAAUGGGCUUGACAACAACAGGUCGUCACUUGUGCAUUAAGAGAAAGGGUGUCGAUGCUACACCCACAUCCCUUCACCUGUGUAGAAGGCAAAUGGGGCUUGUAGUGGUACAAUGUGAAUAUGUGCUGCCAUCCGAGUAAGGGUGGGCAGCUAUUGCCUGCCUCCAUGGUAUCAUGAAGACGCCUGUUGAUUGGCCUUGUAUAGAGGUGGUGUGGCUAACCUCAGAUCUCGCACAUGGAUACUUGCCUUAAGAACUAUGUAUGCUUUCUAUAUAGUUUUGAUGUUAUUAUUACAGAAAAUGAUGUAGGUAAUGUUGCUUGGCAAUAGCUUGUGGUUCUUGGUGGAAAGUGAGGUUUUAUUGGGCUGUUAAAUCAUUUGGUGUAACUAUGGCUUGGUUCAGCUAUUGAAGGCUGAUUGGUGUGUGGUUGAUUUUUAACCUGUGAUAUCCUGAGGCUUUUGGUUUUGACAUCUGAAAUCGACCCCAACGUGGUUAGUUGGGGAUCCUUUAUUUUAUGAAGUGAUUGUUCAUAUAUUCGUGAUGAUACUGGAGGUGUAUAUGGGCACCUUGUAGGACAACGUUAACUGGUCUGGGUACUUCUAAGCUUGGCCUACUUGCUGUGAUUUAUAACCACACAUGUUGCCUAAGUAUCCUUCCCUGAUUAGCCGGUUGCCACAUGUGUCAAUGGCCUCUCCCGAUGUAUUUGCUAUGUGCAAGGGUAAAUACCAAUCAUUCAAUCUAUGAAAGACCAUUGUUUUCUUUACACAUCCGUUCGGUUCUCAUGAAAUCGACUCUCAUUUGUGUUUGGUUCUCAUGAAAUCGAUUCUCAUUUGUGUUCAACACGUUACUAGCAUCUGUGAUGUUGGUCGAUUAUUUUAAUGGCUGCGUGCGUGCAUCAUAACUUUGGUAUUGCGGCUCUAAUUAAAACUAUGGGAGAACCCUUGCUUAUGGUUUGAUAUCUUUGUUGUUUUCCUAUGGUUGUCUUUAGAAAAGUAUAUUUCCUAUGAUUGUGUCAUGGAAGAAGAAAGAGUUUGAAGAUCUCGAAGAUUUGCUCGUUUCUUUUAGACUUCAUUUUGUAAUAGUUGUAGUCAGCUCAAGUAUCUCUAUCAUGUACAAUUUGGUACUAUAAAUAUAUAAUAUAAAUAUAUCAUUGGCAUUGAUUGUAAAAAAAAGAAAGCAUAUUCUAUCUAUUGGGAGCAAUGCAAGAACUUGAGAAGGCACCCUCAACUAAGACUAGAGGCACUAUGUUCGAGUAACUUACUUUCAACUCCGUUUAUGAAAAAUAUCACUGUAGACGAAAGGGAUUAUUGCAUUAACCACAAAUUAGACGAAGAAAUGAAAUGGCCUAAUGAAAAUUACCGUUUGUUUGAACCAAGAGAUGAAACCGGGAUAGCUGCCUCCAUGCUUUGCCACAAGCUCAUAUUCUUCGAUGAAAUCCUUUUGAAUCACCGCUUCAUACAAGAAUUUGGCGAUGUAUCGAUUGUAUCAAAUUUAUCCGGGAAUAAGAGCAGUUCAAAGGAAUUAGAAGUUGCGAAACAAUGUACCGAGAACUUAAUCGAUGUACGGCUGCAUUUCUGUUAGGUUGGUGAAGAUAUACAACGAAAUGAUCUGCCAUUCUUCGAAAUCCAACGUGCGAGAUCCCCUUUGAAUAUGCUGAGGUUGGAUCCACCCUUUUUAGGGUCGUCAGCAUUUUAGCGAGGCUUCAGAUUAUGCAAAUGACGAUUUUUGGCUUCGUAGUGUGCUGUCACGCAGUUUGCCGCCUCCUCAGUAAUGAAUGCCUCAGCCGUCGAUGCUUCAAUUCUACGUUUAUUUUUUCAUUUUGCUCGUAGCGUCUUCUGCAUCCUCUCAGUUGCGUAGCACCAACAAUUUUUCACGCCCCCCCAAUCUUGCCUUGGUUGGGAGAUGCAAAAUCAAGUGCUACAUUGGAUUAAAGAAGCCACGCGGAAAGAUCUUCUCUAACUUGCAGAUCAACUCCGACGCCAACUCUUCCAUUUCUUCUAGCAGGCCAGGCGAUAGUUUUUUCGCACAAAGAACAUGGAAGAAAUAGCUCAGCUCCGCCAGUACUAGCCAUUCAUCAUGCAACAUCACCGGCAUUACCCGCUCAAUUCAUAUGUGCCAAUCAUGACUCUUGAGACCAAAUAUUUUCAAUUUAUCAAGACCUGCUCCCCUCUUUAGGUUCACUGCAUACCCAUCAGGGAACAUCAACUGCUGUUGCACCCCCAAGAUAAUUUCCCUCAUAGCUGGCCUUCCAAGAUUGAACCAUGCCUUUGGCUUCGUCCAGUUCUGCUUUCCUUUCGGUUCUUGCAUGUUUUGUAACGGUCUAUCACAUAGCGCCUCCAGAUCGACUCUAGCCUUAGUAUUAUCCUUUGACUUCUCGUCUAUGCCGAACAAUGUACCGAAAAGUGCCUCGGCAAUAUUCUUUUCAGUGUGCAUCACGUCGAUGUUGUGUGGGCAAAGGAGGUCUUUGAAGUAAGGCAGAUCCCACAAGCAUGUCUUGUGAGUCCAGGCGUGUUUCGAAUUAUACCCCUUGAAAUACCCUGAACGCUUUGGAUCUGGCUCGAGAGCGUUUAACCGAUCCAGGUUCUAUUGGCCUGUCAAUGCAGGUGGUGCAAAGUUUUUGAAAACUCUACUUUUGAUGAAGUUCUUCUUGUCUUUCCUGAACUUAUGGUGAGGAUCAAGAAACUGUCUAUGCACGUCGAAGCAAGAAAACUUGCGACCGGCCUGAAGCCAACGAAACUCAAGAGCUCCCUUACAUGUGGGGCAUGGGAACCAUCCAUGCACAUGUUGGGGAUCGUAGCAGAAAUUAAAAAAUUUCUACGCAUCACCAAUAUCAAUCUAUGGAGUUUACUAGCAACGAGAGGGGAGUGCAUCUUCAUACCUUUGAAGAUUGCGAUGCGGGAGCGUUGCAAGAACGCGGUCGGUGGAGUCGUACACGAAGCGAUUCAGAUCGCGGCCGAUUCUGAUCUAAGCACCGAACAACGGUGCCUCCGCGUUCAACACAGGUGCAACCCGGUGACGUCUCCCGCACCUUGAUCCAGCAAGGAGAGAGGGAGAGGUUGGGGAAGACUCCGUCCAGCAGCAGCACGACAGCAUGGUGGUGGUGGAGGAGCGUGGCACUCCAGCAGGGCUUCGCCAAGCACUGCGAGAGACGAGGAGGGAGAGGGGUAGGGCUGCGCCAGGAGAAGGGGUGCGGUUGCCCUCCCACCCCCACUAUUUAUAGGGGAAGGGGAGAGGGGGCCGGCCCCCUAGAUCCAGUGACUGAAACUGGACUUCCCAUAUAUAAAUCUUUACCUCCGGACCAUUUCGGAACUCCUCGUGACAUCCAGGAUCUCAUCCGGGACUCCGAACAACAUUCGGUAACCACGUACAUCUAUUCCCUAUAACCCUAGCAUCAUCGAACCUUAAGUGUGCAGACCCUACGGGUUCGGGAGGCAUGCAGACAUGACUGAGACAUCUCUCCAGCCAAUAGCCAACAGCGGGGUCUGGAUACCCAUGUUAGCUCCCACAUGCUCCAUGAUGAUCUCAUUGGAUGAACCACGAUGUCAAGGAUUCAAUCAAUCCCGUAUACGAUUCCCUUUGUCUACCAGUAUAACACUUGCCCGAGAUUCGAUCGUCGGUAUACCGAUACCUUGUUCAAUCUCAUUACGGCAAAUCUCUUUACUCGUUCUGUAACACAUCAUCCCGUGAUCAACUCCUUGAUCACACUGAGCUCAUUAUGAUGAUGUCCUACUGAGUGGGCCCAGAGAUACCUCUCCGUCAUACGGAGUGACAAAUCCCAGUCUCGAUUCGUGCCAACCCAACAGAUACUUUCGGGGAUUCCCGCAGUGUACCUUUAUAGCCACCCAGUUACGUUGUGACGUUUGGCACACCCAAUGUACUCCUACGGUAUCCGGGAGUUGCACAAUCUCAUGGUCUAAGGAAAAAGAUACUUGACAUUAGAAAAGCUUUAGCAGACGAACUACACAAUCUUGUGCUAUGCUUAGGAUUGGGUCUUGUCCAUCACAUCAUUCUCCUAAUGAUGUGAUCCCAUUAUCAAUGACAUCCAAUGUCCAUGGUUAGGAAACCGUAACCAACUAUUGAUCAACGAGCUAGUCAACUAGAGGCUCACUAGGGACAUGUUGGGGCCUAUGUAUUCACACAUGUAUUAUGAUUUCCGGAUAACGCAAUUAUAUCAUGAACAAUAGACAAUUAUCAUGAACAAGGAAAUAUAAUAAUAACCAUUUUAUUAUUGCCUCUAGUGCAUAUUUCCAAUAGUCUCCCACUUGCACUAGAGUCAAUAACCUAGUUACAUUGUGAUGAAUCAAACACCCAUAGAGUUCUGGUGUUGAUCAUGUUUUGCAUGUGGAAGAGGUUUAGUCAAUGGAUCUGCAACAUUCAGGUUCGUAUGCACUUUACAAAUCUCUAUGUCUCCAUCUUGAACAUUUUCACGAAUGGAGUUGAAGCGACGCUUGAUAUGCCUGGUCUUCUUGUGAAACCUGGGCUCCUUGGCAAGGGCAAUAGCUCCAGUGUUGUCACAGAAGAGAGUCAUCAGGCCCGACGCAUUGGGAAUAACUCCUAGGUCGGUAAUGAACUCCUUCAUCCAGAUUGCUUCAUGUGCUGCCUCCGAGGCUGCCAUGUACUCCGCUUCACAUGUAGAUCUCGCCACGACACUUUGCUUGCAACUGCACCAGCUGAUUGCCCCACCAUUCAAAAUAUACACGUAUCCGGUCUGUGACUUGGAGUCAUCCAGAUCUGUGUUGAAACUAGCAUCGACGUAACCCUUUACGACGAGCUCUUCGUCACCUCCAUAAACGAGAAACAUAUCCUUAGUCCUUUCCAAGUACUUCAGGAUAUUCUUGACCACUGUCCAGUGUUCCAUGCCGGGAUUACUUUGGUACCUUCCUACCAAACUUACGGCAAGGUUUACAUCAGGUCUGGUACACAACAUGGCAUACAUAAUAGACCCUAUGGCCGAGGCAUAGGGGAUGACACUCAUCUUUUCUUUAUCUUCUGCCGUGGUCGGGCAUUGAGCCGUGCUCAAUCUCACACCUUGCAAUACAGGUAAGAACCCCUUCUUGGACUGAUCCAUAUUGAACUUCUUCAAUAUCUUGUCAAGGUACGUGCUUUGUGAAAGACCAAUGAGGCGUCUCGAUCUAUCUCUAUAGAUCUUGAUGCCUAAUAUGUAAGCAGCUUCUCCAAGGUCCUUCAUUGAAAAACACUUAUUCAAGCAGGCCUUUAUGCUUUCCAAGAGUUCUAUAUCAUUUCCCAUCAAUAGUAUGUCAUCCACAUACAAUAUGAGAAAUGCUACAGAGCUCCCACUCACUUUCUUGUAAACACAGGCUUCUCCAUAAAUCUGCGUAAACCCAAACACUUUGAUCAUCUCAUCAAAACGAAUGUUCCAACUCCGAGAUGCUUGCACCAGCCCAUAGAUCGAGUGUUGGAGCUUGCAUACCUUGUCAGCAUUCUUAGGAUUGACAAAACCUUCCGGCUGCAUCAUAUACAAUUCUUCCUUAAGGAAACCAUUAAGGAAUGCCGUUUUGACGUCCAUUUGCCAUAUCUCAUAAUCAUGGAAUGCGGCACUUGCUAACAUGAUUCAGACAGACUUCAGCUUCGCUACGGGUGAGAAGGUCUCAUCGUAGUCAACCCCUUGAACUUGUCGAUAACCCUUAGCGACAAGCCGAGCCUUAUAGAUGGUUACAUUACCAUCCUCAUCUAUCUUCUUCUUAAAGAUCCAUUUAUUUUCUAUGGCUCGCCGAUCAUCGGGCAAGUUAGUCAAAGUCCAUACUUCGUUUUCAUACAUGGAUCCUAUCUCGGAUUUCAUGGCUUCAAGCCAUUUGUCGAAAUCCGGGCCCGCCAUCGCUUCUUCAUAGUUCGAAGGUUCACCAUUGUCUAACAACAUGAUUUCCAGGACAGGGUUGCCGUACCACUCUGGUGCGGAACGUGUCCUUGUGGACCUACGAAGUUCAGUAGCAACUUGAUCUGAAGUUUCAUGAUCAUCAUCAUUAACUUCCUCUCUAGUCGGUGCAGGCACCACAGAAACAUUUUCUUGAGCCGCGCUACUCUCCGGUUCAAGAGGCAAUACCUCAUCAAGUUCUACUUUCCUCCCACUUCUUUCGAGAGAAACUCUUUCUCUAGAAAGGAUCCAUUCUUGGCAACAAAGAUCUUGCCUUCGGAUCUGAGGUAGAAGGUAUACCCAAUAGUUUCCUUAGGGUAUCCUAUGAAGACACAUUUUUCCGAUUUGGGUUUGAGCUUUUUAGGUUGAAGUUUCUUGACAUAAGCAUCGCAUCCCCAAACUUUCAGAAACGACAGCUUAGGUUUCUUCCCAAACCAUAAUUCAUACGGUGUCGUCUCAACGGAUUUCGACGGAGCCCUAUUUAAAGUGAAUGCGGCAGUCUCUAAAGCAUACCCCAAAAUGAUAGCGGUAGGUCCGUAAGAGACAUCAUGGAUUGCACCAUAUCCAAUAGAGUGCGAUUUCGAUGUUCAGACACACCAUUAUGCUGAGGUGUUCCAGGCGGCAUGAGUUGUGAAACAAUUCCACAUUUCCUUAAGUGCGUGCCAAAUUCGUGACUCAAAUAUUCUCCCCCACGAUCUGAUCGUAAGAACUUGAUUUUCCUAUCACGUUGAUUCUCAACCUCACUCUGAAAUUCCUUGAACUUUUCAAAGGUCUCAGACUUGUGUUUCAUUAAGUAGACAUACCCAUAUCUACUUAAGUCAUCAGUGAGAGUAGAACAUAACGAUAACCAUCGCGAGCCUCAACGCUCAUUGGACCGCACACAUCAGUAUGUAUGAUUUCCAAUAAGUUGGUUGCUCGCUCCAUUGUUCCGGAGAACGGAGUCUUGGUCAUUUUGCCCAUGAGUCAUGGUUCGCACGUGUCAAAUGAUUCAUAAUCAAGAGACUCCAAAAGUCCAUCUGCAUGGAGUUUCUUCAUGCGUUUGACACCAAUGUGACCAAGGCGGCAGUGCCACAAGUAUGUGGGACUAUCAUUAUCAACCUUACAUCUUUUGGCAUUCACACUAUGAAUAUGUGUAACAUCACGUUCGAGAUUCAAUAAGAAUAAACCAUUGACCAGCGGGGCAUGACCAUAAAACACAUCUCUCAUAUAAAUAGAACAACCAUUAUUCUCAGAUUUAAAUGAGUAGCCAUCUCGCAUUAAACAAGAUCCAGAUACAAUGUUCAUGCUUAAAGUUGGUACUAAAUAACAAUUAUUGAGGUUUAAAACUAAUCCCGUAGGUAAAUGUAGAGGUAGCGUGCCGACGGUGAUCACAUCGACCUUGGAACCAUUCCCGACGCGCAUCGUCACCUCGUCCUUCGCCAGUCUCCGCUUAUUCCGCAGCUCGUGUUUUGAGUUACAAAUAUGAGAAACUGCACCGGUAUAAAAUACCCAGGAGCUACUACGAGCGCUGGUUAGGUACACAUCAAUAACAUGUAUAUCACAUAUACCUUUGGUAUUGCCGGCCUUCUUAUCCGCUAAGUACUUGGGCAGUUUCGCUUCCAGUGACCGUUUCCUUUGCAAUAAAAGCACUCAGUCUUAGGCUUGGGUCCAUGCUUUGGCUUCUUCCCGGCAACUGGCUUACCGGGCGCGGCAACUCCCUUGCCAUCCUUCUUGAAGUUCUCCUUACCCUUGCCUUUCUUGAACUUAGUGGUUUUAUUCACCACCAACACUUGAUGUUCCUUUUUGAUCUCCACCUCCGCUGAUUUCAGCAUUGAAUAUACCUCAGGAAUGGUCUUUUCCAUCCCCUGCAUAUUGAAGUUCAUCACAAAGCUCUUGUAGCUAGGUGGGAGCGACUGAAGGAUUCUGUCAAUGACCGCAUCAUCCGGGAGAUUAACUCCCAGCUGAGAUAUGCGGUUGUGCAACCUAGAUAUUUUGAGUAUGUGCUCGUUGACAGAACUAUUCUCCUCCAUCUUACAACUAUAGAACUUGUCAGAGACUUCAUAUCUCUCGACCCGGGCAUGAGCUUGGAAAACCAUUUUCAGCUCUUGGAACAUCUCAUAUGCUCUGUGCUGCUCAAAACGCUUUUGGAGCCCCAGUUCUAAGCUGUAAAGCACGCCGCACUGAACCAGGGAGUAAUCAUCACUACGCGACUGCCAGACGUUCAUAACGUCUUGAGUUGCUGGGAAAAAAGGUGCAUCACCUAGUGGUGCUUCAAGGACAUAUGCUUUCUUGGCAGCUAUGAGGAUAAUCCUGAAGGAAAUAUGCCCUAGAGGCAAUAAUAAAGUUAUUAUUUAUUUCCUUAUAUCAUGAUAAAUGCUUAUUAUUCAUGCUAGAAUUGUAUUAACCGGAAACAUAAUACAUGUGUGAAUACAUAGACAAACAGAGUGUCACUAGUAUGCCUCUACUUGACUAGCUCGUUGAAUCAAAGAUGGUUAAGUUUCCUAGCCAUAGACAUGAGUUGUCAUUUGAUUAACGGGAUCACAUCAUUAGAGAAUGAUGUGAUUGACUUGACCCAUUCCGUUAGCAUAGCACUUGAUCGUUUAGUUUGUUGCUAUUGCUUUCUUCAUGACUUAUACAUGUUCCUAUGACUAUGGGAUUAUGCAACUCCCAUUUAUCGGAGGAACAUUUUGUGUGCUACCAAAUGUCACAACGUAACUGGGCGAUUAUAAAGGUGCUCUACAGGUGUCUCCGAAGGUACUUGUUGGGUUGGCGUAUUUCGAGAUUAGGAUUUGUCACUCCGAUUGUCGGAGAGGUAUCUUUGGGCCCACUCGGUAAUGCACAUCACUAUAAGCCUUACAAGCAUUGCAACUAAUGAGUUAGUUGCAGGAUGAUGUGUUACGGAAUGAGUAAAGAUACGUACCGGUAACGAGAUUGAACUAGGUAUUGAGAUACCGACGAUCGAAUCUCGGGCAAGUAACAUACCGAUGACAAAGGGAACAACAUAUGUUGUUAUGCGGUUUGACCGAUAAAGAUCUUCAUAGAAUAUGUAGGAGCCAAUAUGAGCAUCCAGGUUCUGCUAUAGGUUAUUGACCGAAGACGUGUCUCGGUCAUGUCUACAUAGUUCUCAAACCUGUAGGGUCCGCACGCUUAAAGUUCGAUGACGGUUAUAUUAUGAGUUUAUGUGUUUUGAUGUACCGAAGCAGUUCGGAGUCACGGAUAAGAUCGGGGACAUGACGAGGAGUCUCGAAAUGGUCGAGACGUAAAGAUCGAUAUAUUGUACAACUAUAUUCGGACAUCAGAAAGUUUCCGAGUGAUUCGGGUAUUUUCAGGAGUAUCGGGGAGUUACAGGAAUUCGUAUUGGGCCUUAAUGGGCCAUACGGGAAAGGAGAGAAAGGCCUCAAAGGGUGGCUGCACCCCUCCCCAUGGGCUGGUCCGAAUUGGACUAGGGAGGGGGGGACCCUUCCUUCCUUCUCCUUUUCCCUUCCCUUUCCUUCCCUCCUACUCCUACUACUUAGAAGGGCUCCUAGUUCUACUAGGAAAAGGGGAAUCCUACUCCCGGUGGGAGUAGGACUCCCCUAGGGCGCGCCAUAGAGAGGGCCGGCCCUCCCCCUCAUCCACUCCUUUAUAUACGGGGGCAGGGGCACCCCAAAGACACAACAAUUGAUCUCUUGAUCUCUUAGCCGUGUGCGAUGCCCCCUCCACCAUAAUCCACCUCGAUCAUAUCAUAGCGGUGCUUAGGCAAAGCCCUGCAUCGGUAGAACAUCAUCACCGUCACCACGCCGUUGUGCUGACGAAACUCUCCCUCAACACUCGGCUGGAUCGGAGUUCGAUGGACGUCAUCGGACUGAACGUGUGCUGAACUCGAAGGUGCUGUGCGUUUGGUACUUGAUCGGUUGGAUAAUGAAAAUGUACGACUACAUCAACCGCGUUGUGCUAACACUUCUGCUUUCGGUCUACGAGGGUACGUGGACAACUCUCUCUCGUCUCGUUGCUAUGCAUCACCAUGAUCUUGCAUGUGCGUAGGAAAUUGUUGAAAUUACUACGUUCCCCAACAGUGGCAUCAGAGCCAGGUUUUAUGCGUAGAUGUCAUAUGCACGAGUAGAACACAAGUGAGUUGUGGGCGAUAUAAGUCACACUGCUUACCACCAUGUCACACUUUGGUUCGGUGGUAUUGUUGGAUGAAGCGGCCCGGACCGACAUUACGCGUACGCUUACGCGAGACUGGUUUUACCGCCGUGCUAUGCACACAUGUGACUAGCGGGUGUCAGUUUCUCCAACUUUAGUUGAACCGAGUGUGGCUACGCCCGGUCCUUGAGAAGGUUAAAACAACACUAACUUGACAAACUAUCGUUGUGGUUUUCGAUGCGUAGGUAAGAACGGUUCUUGCUCAGCCCGUAGUAGCCACGUAAAACUUGCAACAACAAAGUAGAGGACGUCUAACUUGUUUUUGCAGGGCAUGUUGUGAUGUGAUAUGGUCAAGACAUGAUGAGAUAUAAGUUGUUGUAUAAGAUGAUCAUGUUUUGUUGAAGUUAUCGGCAACUGGCAGAAGCCUUAUGGUUGUCUCUUUAUUGCAUAAGAUGCAAGUGCCAAAUAAUUGCUUUACUUUAUCGCUAUGCGAUAGCAAUAGUUGGCGAGAUGACCAUGUGAUGACACAUUGAUAUAGAUCAAGAUGAUGGAGAUCAUGGUGUCAUGCCGGUGACGAUGGAAAUCAUGACGAUGCUUUGGAGAUGGAGAUCAAAGGCACAAGAUGAUGAUGGCCAUAUCAUGUCACAUAUUUUGAUUGCAUGUGAUGUUUACCUUUUAUGCAUCUUAUCUUGCUUUGAUUGACGGUAGCAUUAUAAGAUGAUCUCUCACUAAAUUUCAAGAUAAAAGUGUUCUCCCUGAGUAUGCACCGUUGCCAAAGUUCCUCGUGCCCAGACACCACGUGAUGAUCGGGUGUGAUAAGCUCUACGUCCAUCUACAACGGGUGCAAGCCAGUUUUGCACGCAGAAUACUCAGGUUAAACUUGACGAGCCUAGCAUAUGCAGAUAUGGCCUCGGAACACUGAGACCGAAAGGUCGAGCGUGAAUCAUAUAGUAGAUAUGAUCAACAUAAGUGAUGUUCACCAUUGAAAGCUACUCCAUUUCACGUGAUGAUCGGUUAUGGUUUAGUUGAUCUGGAUCAUGUGAUCACUUAGAGGAUUAGAGGGAUGUCUAUCUAAGUGGGAGUUCUUAAGUAAUAUGAUUAAUUGAACUUAAAUUUAUCAUGAACUUAGUCCUGGUAGUAUUAGCAUAUCUAUGUUGUAGAUCAAUAGCUCGCGUUUAGCUCCCCUGUUUUAUUUUUGAUAUGUUCCUAGAGAAAACUAAGUUGAAAGAUGUUAGUAGCAAUGAUGCGGAUUGGAUCCGUGAUUUGAGGUUUAUCCUCAUUGUUGCACAAAAGAAUUAUGUCCUUGAUGCACCGCUAGGUGAUAGACCUAUUGCAAGAGCAGAUGCAGACGUCAUGAACAUUUGGCUAGCUCAAUAUGAUGACUACUUGAUAGUUUAGUGCACCAUUCUUAACAACUUAGAAUCGGGACUUCAAAGACGUUUUGAACGUCAUGGAUCAUAUGGAUGUUCCAGGAGUUGAAGUUAAUAUUUCAAGCAAAUACCCGAGUUGAGAGAUAUGAAGUCUCCAACAAGUUCUAUAGCUAAAAGAUGGAGGAGAAUAGCUCAAGCAGUGAGCAUGUGUUCAGAUUGUCUGGGGUACUACAAUCGCUUGAAUCAAGUGGGAGUUAAUCUUCCAGAUAAAAUAGCGAUUGACAGAAUUCUCUAGUCACCAUCACCAAGUUAGUAGAACUUCGUGAUGAACUAUAGUAUGGAAGGGAUGACGAAAACGAUUCCCGAGCUUUUCAUGAUGAUGAAAUCGAUGAAGGUAGAAAUCAAGAAAGAGCAUCAAGUGUUGAUGAUUAACAAGACCACUAGUUUCAAAAAAGGGCAAAGGGAAAGAAAGGGAACUUCAAGAAGAAAGGCAAGCAAGUUGCUGCUCAAGUGAAGAAGCCCAAGUCUGGACCUAAGCCUGAGACUAAGUGCUUCUACUGCAAAGGGACUGGUCACUAAAAGCGUAACUGCCCCAAGUAUUUAGCGGAUAAGAAGGAUGGCAAAGUGAACAAUGCUAUAUUUGAUAUACAUGUAAUUGGUGUGUACUUUACUAGUGUUUAUAGCAACCCCUCGGUAUUUGAUACCAGUUCAGUUGCUAAGAGUAGUAACUCGAAACGGGAGUUGCAGAAUGAACAAAGACUAGUUAAGGGUGAAGUGACGUUGUGUGAUGGAAGUGGUUCCAAGAUUGAUAUGAUCAUCAUCGCACACUCCCUAUACUUUCGGGAUUAGUGUUAAACCUAAAUAAAUGUUAUUUGGUGUUUGAGUUGAGCAUGAAUAUGAUUUGAUCAUGUUUAUUACAAAACGGUUAUUCAUUUAAGUUAGAGAAUAAUUGUUGUUCUGUUUACAUGAAUAAAACCUUCUAUGGUCAUACACCCAAUGAAAAUGGUUCGUUGGAUCUCGAUCGUAGUGAUACAGAUAUUCAUAAUAUUGAAGCCAAAAGAUGCAAAGUUAAUAAUGAUAGUGCAACUUAUUUGUGGCACUGCCAUUUAGGUCAUAUUGGUGUAAUGUGCAUGAAUAAACUCCAUGCUGAUGGGCUUUUGGAAUCACUUGAUUAUGAAUCAUUUUGAUGCUUGCGAACCAUGCCUCAUGGGCAAGAUGACUAAGACUCCGUUCUCUGGAACAAUGGAGCGAGCAACUGACAUAUUGGAAAUAAUACAUACUGAUGUAUGCAGUCCGAUGAGUGUUGAGGCUCGCGAUGGGUAUCGUUAUUUUCUGACCUUCACAGAUGAUUUAAGCAGAUAUGGGUAUAUCUACUUGAUGAAACAUAAGUCUAAAACAUUUGAAAAGUUCAAAGAAUUUUAGAGUGAAGUGGAGAAUCAUCAUAACAAAAAUAAAAGUUUCUACGAUAUGAUCGCAGAAGUAAAAUAUUUGAGUUACGAGUUUGGCCUUCAGUUAAAACAAUGUGAAAUAGUUUCACCACUCACGCCACCUGGAACACCACAGUGUAAUGGUGUGUCCGAACGUCGUAACCGUACUUUAUUAGAUAUGGUGCGAUCUAUGAUGUUUCUUACCGAUUAACCACUAUAGUUUUGGGGUUAUGCAUUAGAGACAGCUACAUUCACGUUAAAAGGGCACCAUCUAAAUCCGUUGAGACGACACCGUAUGAACUAUGGUUUGGCAAGAAACCUAAGCUGUCGUUUCUUAAAGUUUGAGGUUGCAAUGCUUAUGUGAAAAAGUUUCAACCUGAUAAGCUCAAACCCAAAUCGGAGAAGUGCCUCUUCAUAGGAUACCCCAAAGAAAAUGUUGGGUACACCUUCUAUCACAGAUCCGAAGGCAAGAUAUUCAUUGCUGAGAAUGGAUCCUUUCUAGAGAAGGAGUUUCUCUCAAAAGAAGUGAGUGGGAGGAAAGUAGAACUUGAUGAGGUAACUGUACCUGCUCCCUUAUUGGAAAGUAGUUCAUCACAGAAAUCUGUUCCUGUGACUACUACACCAAUUAGUGAGGAAGCUAAUGAUGAAGAUCAUGUAACUUCAGAUCAAGUUACUACCGAAACCUCGUAGGUAAACCAGAGUGAGAUCCGCACCAGAGUGGUACGGUAAUCCUAUUCUGGAGGUCAUGUUACUUGAACAUGACGAGCCUACGAACUAUGAGGAAGCGAUGAUGAGCCCAGAUUCCGCGAAAUGGCUUGAGGCCAUGAAAUCUGAGAUGAGAUCCAUGUAUGAGAACAAAGUAUGGACUUUGAUUGACUUGCCCAAUGAUCGGCAAGCCAUUGAGAUUAAAUGGAUCUUCAAGAGGAAGACGGACGCUGAUAGUAGUGUUACUAUCUACAAAGCUAGAAUUGUCGCAAAAAGGUUUUCGACAAGUUCAAGGUGUUGACUACGAUGAGAGUUUCUCACUCGUAUCUAUGCUUAAGUCUGUCCGAAUCAUGUUAGCAAUUGCCGCAUUUUAUGAAAUCUGGCAAAUGGAUAAACAAAACUGCAUUCUUUAAUGGAUUUAUUAAAGAAGAGCUGUAUAUGAUGCAACCAGAAGGUUUUGUCAAUGCUAAAGGUACUAACAAAAUAUGCAAGCUCCAGCGAUCCAUCUAUGGACUGGUGCAAGCAUCUCGGAGUUGGAAUAUACACUUUGAUAAGUUGAUCAAAGCAUAUAGUUUUAUACAGACUUGCAGUGAAGCCUGUAUUUACAAGAAAGUGAGUGGGAGCACUACAACAUUUUUGAUAAGUAUAUAUGAAUGACAUAUUGUUGAUCGGAGAUAAUGUAGAAUUAUUCUGCAAAGCAUAAAGGAAUGUUUGAAAGGAGUUUUUCAAAGAAAGACCUCGGUGAAGCUUCUUACAUAUUGAGCAUCAAGAUCUAUAGAGAUAGAUCAAGACGCUUGAUAAGUUUUUCAAUGAGUACAUACCUUGACAAGAUUUUGAAGUAGUUCAAAAUGGAACAGUCACAAAAGGAGUUCUUGCCUGUGUUACAAGGUGUGAAGUUGAGUAAGACUCAAAACCCGACCACGACAGAAGGAGCAGACCACUGCCUUGUUGAAGAGGACCGACAUCAUCGUCGAGAAACUUAGGGACGAGAAUGCCAUGCUGCGCAUCGAGCGCAGAAGGCUGGUGGAGGAAUCCGUGGAUUCUCUCAACCAGCAUCUUGAGGACAAGAAAGAGCUCGUCGCCGCCCGCCGCGGAGACUAGUUGUCUUCCUUCUUCUUUUGCCCUUGUGUAUAUCGGGCGUUGUCGCAUGUGGCUUUUUUUUAAUUAUGUUUAUAAAUAUGUAAGACAAUUAUUAUCCAAUGUCAUCGUCCUUAUAUUCACCAUGCUUGCUAUAAAGUCGCAGUCGAUGCUAUAUAGGUCCGUUGGAUCUUACAUCAAGAUCUGUGCAAAACUUUCUUUUCAGAUUCUCAUUUUUCUCUUUUAAAUCUCAGUCCAGUGAGACAUAUAGCCACACCGUAGAACAGGUGCUCGGGUGCCAUUAUUGGAGACGUUGGGAGGGAGGUGCGUGUCGGGUAGCGGUCAAAAGGGCUCUCCUCCCGAUGAGCAGGCGCAUGGGUCUGAUCGCACGCCUCCCGUACUCAAAUAGCUACCCCGCAUGGCACCUCCUAGCAACUAAAAAAAGGGGACGUGUGGCUGCACAUAAUUGGUAAGUCAAAUGCCCAUGGUUUCAAUAAUACUUGUGUUUACGAUUUGUAACGUGACAACACUUGUUCCAAAAUGACUUUGUUGAUUGUUAAUGUGUGCGACUUCGCAAAUCAAACAGAAAAAUUACCACAUCAUGUUGGUGCCAUGUCAAGAGAUCAUGCCAAGUUUCAUGAUUUUCAGGUGUGUUUUGGAAUUACUGAAAUUAAAAAACCAAGUUUCUCAAUCUUUCCGGCCGAGCCACAACGCCCAAAUGUUUGAAUUUCACUCCCAUCUCUUGCAUGGGACCUAGAAAUUCACCCAAGGACACACAUGUGAUUUUCAAACAACUUUGGUGCACUGUAGCAUGUGCUUGUAGUUCAAAUUUGAAUUAUACACAUUAAAUGCCCAGAAACUCAAUUAAUGUAUAAAAAAGGCCAAACGAACCUGAAAUAAUUCUAAAAUUUAGCACGAUACUUCUAUUUGGUCUAAUCUUGCUGUGUAAAAAAAAUUAAGGCGGGAGAAGGCAGUGUACGUAUGUCGUUUCACACACGGAGGUGACACAUUCCCUCUUGAAACCACGAGCCUUCUUGAGGGAAGCUUCGGUUUGCAAGAAGCUUACACCAAAGCUUGUCCCAAUUCGGCCAAAAAAAUUACCACAGCAUGUUGGUGCCAUGUCAUGACACUAUGCCAAGUUUCAUGAUUUUCCGGCGUGUUUUGGAAUUACAGGAAUUAAAAAACCAAGUUUCUCAAUCUUUCCGGCCGAGCCAUGACGCCCAGAUGUUUGAAUUUCACUCCCAUCUCUUGCAUGGGACCUAGAAAUUCACCCAAGUACACACAUGUGAUUUUGCAAACAACUUUGGUGCACUGGAGCCUGUGCUUGCAGUUCAAAUUUGAAUUAUGCACAUUUAAUGCCCAAAAACUUAAUUAAUUUAUAAAAAAGGCGAAACGAGCCCAGAAUAAUUCCAAAAUUUAGCAAGGUACUUCUAUUUGGUAUAAUCUGGCUAUGUAAAAAAAUUAAGGCAGGAGAAGGUAGUGUACGUAUGUCAUUUCGCACACGGAGGUGAUAGUUCCCUCUCGGAACCACGAGCCUUCUUGAGGGAAGCUCCGGUUUGCAAGAAGCUUACACCAAAGCUUGUCCAAUUCAGCCAAAAAAAUACCGUUGCAUGUUGGUGCCAUGUCAUGACACCAUGCCAAGUUUCAUGAUUUUAGGCGUGUUUUGGAAUUACAAGAAUUAAAAAACCAAGUUUCUCAAUCUUUCCGGUCGAGCCAUGAUGCCCAGAUGUUUGAAUUUCACUCCCAUCUCUUGCAUGGGACCUAGAAAUUCACCCAAGGACACACAUGUGAUUUUUCAAACAACUUUGGUGCACUGGAGCCUAUGCUUGCAGCUCAAAUUUGAAUUAUGCACAUUAAAUGCCUAGAAACUCAAUUAAUGUAUAAAAAAGGGAAAAUGAGCCCGGAAUAAUUGCAAAAUUUAACAUGAUACUUCUAUUUGGUCUAAUCUGGCUGUGUAAAAAAAUGAAGGCAUGAGAAGGCAGUGUACGUAUGUCAGUUCGCACACGGAGGUCACACGUUCCCUCUUGGAACCACGAGCCUUCUUGAGGGAAGCUCUGGUUUGCAAGAAGCCUACACCAACGCUUGUCCCAAUUUGGCCAAAAAAAUUACCGCAUCAUGUUGGUGCCAUGUCAUGAGACCAUGCCAAGUUUCAUGAUUUUCAGGCGUGUUUUAGAAUUACAGGAAUUAAAAAACCAAGUUUUUCAAUCUUUUCGGCCGAGCCACGACGCCAAGAUGUUUGAAUUUCACUCCCAUCUCUUGCAUGGGACCUAGAAAUUCACCCAAGGACACACAUAUGAUUUUUCAAACAACUUUGGUGCAUUGGAGCCUGUGCUUGCAGUUCGAAUUUGAAUUAUGCACAUUAAAUGCCCAGAAACUCAAUUAAUGUAUAAAAAGGCGAAACGAGCCUGGAAUAAUUCCAAAAUUUAGCACGGUAGUUCUAUUUGGUCUAAGCUGGCUGUGUAAAAAAAUUAAGGCGGGAGAAGGCAGUGUACGUAUGUCGUUUCAAACACGGAGGUGUCACGUCCCCUCUCGGAACCACGAGCCUUCUUAAGGGAAGCUCCGGUUUGUAAGAAGCCUACACCAAAGCUUGUACCAAUUCGGCCAAAAAAAUUACCGCAACAUGUUGGUGCCAUGUCAUGACACCAUGCCAAGUUUCAUGAUUUUCAGGCGUGUUUUGGAAUUACAGGAAUUAAAAAACCAAGUUUCUCAAUCUUUCCGGCCAAGCCACGACGCCCAGAUGUUUGAAUUUCACUCCCAUCUCUUGCAUGGGACCUAGAUAUUCAUCCAAGGAUACACAUGUGAUUUUUCAAACAACUUUGGUGCACUGGAGCCUGUGCUUGUAGUUCAAAUUUGAAUUAUGCACAUUAAAUACCCCAAAACUCAAUUAAUGUAUAAAAAGGCCAAACGAACACGGAAUAAUUCCAAAAUUUAUCAAGAUACUCCUAUUUGGUCUAAUGUGCCUGUGUAAAAAAAAUUAAGGCGGGAGAAGGCAGUGUACGUAUGUCGUUUCGCACACGGAGGUGACACGUUCCUUCUCGGAACCAUGAUCCUUCUUGAGGGAAGCUCCGGUUUGCAAGAAUCUUACACCAAAGCUUGUCCCAAUUCGGCCAAAAAAUUUACUACAGUAUGUUGGUCCCAUGUCAUGACACCGUGCCAAGUUUCAUGAUUUUCAGCCGUGUUUUGGAUUUAUAGGAAUUAAAAAUCCAAGUUUCUCAAUCAUUCCGGCCGAGCCACGACACCCAGAUGUUUGAAUUUUAUUCCCAUUUCUUGCAUGGGACCUAUAAAUUCACGCAAAGACACACAUGUGAUUUUUCAGCAAACUUUGGUGCAUUGGAGCAUGUGCUUGUAGUUCAAAUUUGAAUUAUGCACAUUAAAUUCCUAGAAACUCAAUUAAUGCAUAAAAAUGCCAAACGAACCCGGAAUAAUUUCAAAUUUAAACACGACACUCAUGUACUAGUUGCAUGUUCACUGUAUGUAAAUGUUCUAGCAAUUCAAACACCAUCCUUUCCCUCCAUAACACCAUUUUGUCUUUCAAAACAUAAUGAAAAAAAUCAGGUAUACCACAAACAGUUUACUAGAAAGAAUCGUGUGGGAUGCGAUAUAAAAUAUCUUGGCGCACCGUCUUGUCUGGCUUACGCAGGAAGCUUCGUCGUGUAUAGUCCACCGCCUCCACUUGAACCACACUUGCGCGCCAGUUUCUCGCCGCACCGAGCGAAUUUUUUUGCCACCGCAGAAAUAUCUAUCUCCCCGCCCCUCCCUCCUACCAAAAUCCACAUUUCCACUGUUCCUCCUUGCUUUCCAAGUUCAAACCUUCACUGCUACUUACGGGCAGCUCAGCCUCCUCACCGGCGACCCUUCUUCUUGUAGUACCACCUCCUCGCCAGCUACCCUUCUUCUUGCAGCGCCGCCUCCUCGCUGGCGACCCUUCUUCUUGCAGCGCCGCCUCCUCGCCGGUGACCCUUCUUCUUGCUGCGCGGCCUCCUCGACGGCGACCAUUCUUCUUGCUGCGCGGCCUCGUUGAUAUGGUCAGGUAAUCCACACCCACCCACACCAUCCUCCUCCUUUCCCGUCCCACAUGCCCCGACCGACGGAGCGACACCUUCCACCGAAAUCACUGCCCCUCCUCCAAUUAAGCGCCGCCACAACCAUUUUACACGUAGUAUAACAUGGAGCUGAGUAGCAUGCAGCCGCACACGCGAACAAGGUCGCUAUGGCUGACAUGCGUGUUGACCGCCAGAUCUUGGAGGAGCACCUCGUCUUCGAGGCCACCAUCGACACCACCGCGCAGUUGUCUACUUUAAAAUACAGUUCGUGAUGUUUUCUCGAGGCCAUCGCCAGUGCCUUCUAGUGAUUUGUCCUCUGUAAUGUUAAUAUGCAAUCUGAUGUUCAGUUAACAGUUUGGUCCUCUGAAAUGUAAUGUUCAGUUAACACUUUGGUCCAACAAUUGCUACAUUUCGUAGUACUGUUCUCAAGCAUUCUUUGUUUUGUUAACUGUCUUAUCUUCUCAUACAUGUUUCUACUCUACAAUGUCGUGCGUAGCUAACAAUUUUGGUUCAUUUGGUCUGCUGUCCAUUUAACUGUUUGGUUCAGUUCUGCAAUUUGAUUUUCAUUUGCUGUGGGUACAAUUUUGUAUUGUUAUGCAUGUGGCACCAAUCGAAUUUGGCUGUACUCAAUACACAUUCUACUGAUAGUAUGGCAACUGUCAGUUAACCUGAUCAAAAUCUUCCUUAUGUGUGUUGCAGGGAAACAAUGGGAGACACUGCGGGUUACCAUCGAGGUUUGUUCAAGUAGGGUCCUUUGGCUAAUAGCACAUUAUUGUGCAGUUGCAGGAAUCAUUCUAAUAUUUAUGUUUCUUACAAUUUGAUCUUGCACAUGUAGGUCCAGUAGUCAGAGGCUUAGACCCACUGUUCGACCCAUUUUGCAUAUGGGGAAAUGAGAUGUCCAUGAAUAUCAGUCAAGUCAAGAAACUCAGAAAGAUUGUUAGGAUGAAGAAGCUUGCGACGAAUAAUAGCAAGAUCUUUGUUUGCACAAUGAAGAAGACACCAGUCAACUAUAGGAUGGUACCAACUCUUUUACCUUGUUUUUACCCCUUGCGCCAUUUCAAAAUUUACAACAGCGAUUUAUGCAUAGCUUUGUUUUCAGUACUUUUCAAAGCAGUUCACCGAUGAUUACCUCUCAAACCACCUUCAUGGUCAAGAGGCGAGGAAGGUAUUCAUUCAACACCCACGGUACAAUAUUGAAGUCUUGCUGAAGAGGACGAAGGUUGGGCGGGCAAUUAUCCAUAGCCACUGGCCUAAAGUUGCAAGGACAUUCAACAUCACUGAAGGCUGAAUAUUUGCCUCCCGCUUCUGCAGUUUCCCAGAUGAGAUUCAUCUGUCUAUUUACGGUGUAUGAUGCUACUUUCCAAAGGUUUUUGAUCCUGCAUGUGAAACUUGGUGCUGUUGUGUAAUGGCGUAACUGAGUUCCGAAGCUAUCUGAUGUAAUUUGAUUAUGAAAUCUUGGUUGCUUUUAUACGGAUAUGAAAUAUCUGGCGUGUUUUAUAAGAAAUACCAGUUUGAUUAGUACAUGGAUUAUCAAUAAUAGGAUAAUUACCCUGCUUAUUGGGGUUUUCUAUUGAAAUGGUUACUCAGACAGCACCAUGGGCGAUGAACUCAAACAACCCGCACUGUUUCUAAAAAGUAGGCGUGUUCGAUCAACUAACAAUCACACAUGGCUUCCGGCAGCGAACUAUUUGCGUUAGGCCACAUUGCACAAAUGUUUCCACACAAAGAACUAUGUGGGAUGUACAUACCUACGGAAAUGAUUUUCUAGGAUUCACCGUGUGGGAUGUACAUACAUAUGGAAAUGAUUUCUGGGAUUCACCGUGUGGGAUGUACAUACCUACGGAAAUGAUUUCUAGGAUUCACCAUGUGGGAUGUACAUACCUACGGAAAUGAUUUCUAGGAUUCACCGUGUGGGAUGUACAUACCUACGGAAAUGAUUGGGUUUCCAUGCCUCACCCGAUCGCACACGGGCCCAACCUGGAUCCCACGAGGGCCUAUCCCCGACGAUUUCUGGGUCAUGUGGGAAGGACCCCCUAUUGCCCACACUCACUUGGCAACGGUUCCAAAUGCCGUCAUGGAAAGGGGUUUUAAACCGUUUGUUUAGGACGUUGCUGUACCAGUGUGAGUAUAUAUAGGAGGAAGAUCUUGGUCAGGAGGUCAUCGAGGGGCCCACAAGGUCGGGGGGCGCACUCCACACACCUAGGCAUGCCCUCCACCCUCGUGGCCGCCUCGUGGCUCUUGUGACUUGCACUCCAAGUUUCUUUGGUGUCUUCUGGUCCAAGAAAAAUCAUCGCGAAAGUUUUAUUCCGUUUGGACUUCGUUUGGUAUUCCUUUUCUGCGAAACUCUAAAACAAGGAAAAAAUAGGAACUGGCACUGGGCUCUAGGUUAAUAGGUUAGUCCCAAAAAUCAUAUAAAAUAUCAUAUUAAUGCAUAUAAACAUCCAAAAUAGAUAAUAUAAUAGCAUGGAACAAUGAAAAAUUAUAGAUACGUUGGAGACGCAUCACGCGGCUUGUACGUUAUUUCAAAUGGUAAGAGCUCAAUGGCCCAUUUAGCUAUGCAGUUGGUGGCGUUCCUAUUAUUUACAAUGUCAUUGAGUGGUGCUUCGAAUGCCACCGUUAUCAAACACUCCUGAAGAUAGUGCCGGAGCUUUCGGGAUGCCAUAAAGACCGCGUAAGCUAUCUUUUGAUAGUGAGGAUAUCGGGAUUUUCAUGGUGUAAGGACCGCCGAUACAUAGUAUACUGGAUUCUGGAUGGGGAAUUUAUGUCCCUCUUCCCCUCGCUCGACGGUGAGUACGGCGCUCACUACCUGGUGAGUUGCGGAUAUAUAAAGUAACAUAGGCUCUCCAACACUUGGGGUGGCUAGGAUUGGAUUGCCUGCUAAUAAGGUUUUUAUUUCUUCCAAUCCAACUGUAGCCGCAUCCAUCCAUUCCAAGUGGUCGGUGCGUCUAAGUAGUCUAUAAAGUUCUAAUGUCUUUUCUCCUAAUCUAGAGAUGAAGCGGCUCAAAGCUGCCAUGCACCCUGCUAGUUUUUGGACCUGCUUUAAGUCUGUUGGUAUGGCCAGUUGCGACAAGGCUCAUAUUUUGGUUGGGUUUGCUUCAAUUCCUCUAUUGGAGACAAUGAACCCGAGUAGCUUUCCGGCUGGAACGCUGAAAACACAUUUUUCCAGAUUGAGCCGUAUGUCGUAUGUUCGGAGGUUAUCGAAUGUGAGGUGGAGAUCGUCCACCAAUGAUUCAACGUGUUUAGUCUUAAUGACCACGUCAUCCACAUAUGCUUCCACUUUCUUGCCAAUUUGUUUUUCCAAACAUGUUUGAAUCAUGUGCUGGUAAGUGGCACCGGCUUUUUAAGCCCGAAAGGCAUAGUGUUGAAACAUAAAGGCCCAUAAGGGGUAAUGAACACCGUUGUGGCCUGGUCGGAUUCCUUCAUAUUAAUCUGAUGGUAUCUGGAGUAAGCAUCAAGGAAACACAAUGAGUCAUGUCCCGCGGUCACAUCGAUAAUCUGGUCAAUGCGGGGCAACGGGAAAGGGUCUUUGGGGCAAGCGUUAUUUAGGUCUUUGAAAUUGACACAAAGGCGCCAUGAUUUAUCCUUGUUCGACACCAUGACUAGGUUGGCUAGCCAAUAUGUCGGGGAAAAUAUACCAGGGUAUAUGUUUUCCCCUGACUCGUGCACGGACAAGCCAAGAUCGAGCCAAGAUAUACAAGAAACCAAGAGAUUUGAAGGAUCAACAUGUAGAUCAGAGGGACCGAGAAUGAACCAAGGAAGCAGGAUACUGUCAAGAGAAACGUCUCCCUUGCUGGGCAGGCGAGCCCAGCAAGGGGUGGGGCCACCUCUAGAAGCGGACAACCAAAGCACCCUGGUAGGGCCUGCCGGGGCUCACGGAGGCAAAACCACCUCGCCAACCACUCUACCACGACCCAUGUCAUCGAUCAGUGCGGUGUCAAGCUGCAAAGUGAUUAAGUGGCAGCCAUUCGCCACAUGGUAGCCAUUUCCUACAGGAGAAACCCACAGAUGACACCCAUCAUGCGACAUGUCAAGAGAACAUGUGCGGAGCUGGCAAGAUAGCCCGGCAAGCCUUGCCGGGCACCCAACGAUGUGACGUUAAGCGGUGCAUUUAAUGCACCCUGUUAGCCCGCAGAGUUAAGUAUGAUGGCACUAUUUGCUAUCUUAUCAGUGCGUAAUGACCACUUUGCCACUGUGGCUACCCCUUGAUCUAUAAAAGGAGGCCCAUGGCAACCGUAGAAAGGGUUAGAAGGUUGGAUAACUCACACCCCCAUACGCGCGUAGUCGCUACUACCCCAAGGUGACCCCUGCUCGGCAAGUGUACUACGCUCGACAACACCUUUUCGACCAUCAAUCCACCAAAGCAGGAGUAGGGUUUUACGCCUCACGGCGGCCCGAACCUGGGUAAAUUACCCGUGUGAUCUCUGUCGUGCUGCCCCACGCUCGUCUGCUCUUUGUGCAAUGCAUCAUCCCCCUGCCGAACCAGCAAGGGACCUCCUAGUCCCAUAGGUGGCCGUGGUUUCCCUCGACAUCUUUGGGCGCCAGGGAUGGGGGCGCGCUUGCACGAACCUCAAGGCGUGUGUAGUGCGUCGACUUCAUCACCAUCGUCAUCUUCGAUGACACCAUCGAUCAUGGCACCCAAAGAGACAUAGAAGCAAAGCGGGGCUAUCGUUGCACCAUUUUUGUUGGUCUCCAUGCCUCGCCAUAGCCGCGGUUAUGGCAAAGAUCAUUGCUAGUGGCAAUAUGCCCAUCACGGCGGCCCGUAUGACGUACCCACCAUUCGGAGAAGGGGCACAAGAUGUGCGGGCGCAAGAUCCCUCCUUCCUGUCCCUUCCCCUCGUCAUCAGUCGAACUGCUUCAGCCUCGGCGUCGUUGGUGUCGACGAUUACCGCACGACGCUCGGUCCAGUAUUCCCCCUACUUUGUGUAAUCCUGAGCAGAACACUGGUACAAGUCCGCCGACUGAUGCCUCGGCAAGCAUGCUUCAGUGAGGCUCCUGCAUUGGCACGACCUCUGCAACGGCGGCCGCUGGACUGACUCGAAGGGAAGGGAACAAAAGGGAGAGGAACCAGAGGAUCCGGGUGCUAUGCCCCAAUGCCCGCCACCCGCAAGAAAUGCAUAUCACUUCCUGCCGAGAACAAAGAAAUCACCUGAUUGGCUUAUGCUCCUCCAAGUGCCACGGGCGCGCCCGGGAGCACGGUCUGGAAGAGGAAAAAGGGGGCUCGAAACAAAAACUAAGUUUGCAUUAUCACCUCCUAUUGAUGCCUUUCAAAUCCUCGCAGUCGUUUAUCCCUUAACCCUAGUGAGCAUUCAUAUCGUGAAAGCCCUCAUGCGACGAAACCUUGGCUAUUUUCUUUGAUUGCACCAUCAUCCUGUCUAGAGCCAUGCUCACAGGUUGAGAGGCUGCAUCGAGAGGUACCUAGGAAAAACCUGCCGAGACGCAUCCACGCCAAGAUGACUGUUAAGGGCCAGACCCUUACGACAAUCGCGACAAUAUGAUAUCAGCAGGCAUCCAGAGCAUAUAUAUGAAUUGAUCAUAUGAACGCAAACAUGUAGGGCUCAAAGGGAUAAACACACAUUUAAAAAUCUAGCUAGAAAUACCAGUUUUGCACAAACACUAGAGAUAGAAUAACUAAACGCAAAAUACGUAUCAUGUUCCUUUAUAGAGCGCAGUGGAAACGAUAGUGGCCUGAUACUUGGUCCGGUGUCCAGAAGGAAUAGCUUAAACGCAAAGAACCCUGUUGGCGCGGGGAGUGGCUUUCUUCUCAGCAGCUGCAAUGUCGGCACCCACUGGCGGCUUCUUGAAUCCAUCAUCGAGGUCGAGCUCUAGAUGGCGGCAGAUGAUAUUGCUCAGGACCAUGAAGAGGGCGUUGCGGGCAAGCUUCCGGGACUUGGUCGCGAAGCGCUCAUGCCUCCCCUCUUCAUGCACCUUUAGCCUGUCGAUCAGCUCGUUGAAGAAGAGCCCCAACUUGAUGCUCGGGACCUCCUGCAUGCUAGCUGAGAAGACUGGGCCGCCCAUGACCAUCAUCGCAGCUUGGGCCCCGAGGCGUUCAGCAAUGUCAAUCAUGCUUUUGAUCCAGAGGUUGCUCGUAUCAACCUGAUUCUUCAACCUAUCCUCUGCAUCUUGCCGGAGACGCUUGGCGGUUUCCAAAUCCUUGGAGAACAACUGCUGUCGGGACUCAAGGGACUCCGCCGACCGCUCCAGCGAGCCGAUCCUCGCCUUCAUAUCCGUGAUGUUGCCAUUGGCAAUCUCAAGGCUCUGGGUCUUGGAGGAGAGCUGCGACUGCACAUCAGCCAAGUGGAUCUGUGCCUGCCGAGCUCCCUCUUUGAGUGCCUCCACCUCUUUGGCACUUUUAGUGAGCACCUCAUUCAGCUUAGCCACCUGCCGGUCAAGAUCAAUCUUGGUGGCGGAUGCGGCAUCCAAAUCUUCAGUAAGCUUCUUCAACUGGGCAGCAUGGUCAGUGGCGGGUGUCCAGAGCAGCCCCAUGCUUGUCCUCCAAUUCCUUGGUGUGUUGCUGCACUAGAGCCUCUAAGCCUUCGUCCUUGGCACGGAGGAUGGCUUCGAGUUUCUCCUCCCGAAGGGAGAUCUCUCGCUCUCUAGCAUUUAGAGAUGCCUUGUGAUUCGCCAGUCGCGCCUCCCAUGCUAUGAAAUUCUCCCUCGCCAUCAGGGGCAUCUCUUGCUACCUCACGAGCACCUUAAAUUGCUUGCCGUUCCAGUCGCGCAGCUCCAGGCACCUGUCCUUCAACUUCUAGUCCACCUUGCCGGUGGACUCGCGCCGCUCCUUGAGCUCCUGCCACUUUUGACAGUGCCGGGCCUGCAUCUCCUUCAUGCCUGCCGCCGUGGACGCCAUGAAGGACAAAUCCAUUGUGAUGGCGGCUGAGUCAUCGGCCUCCCUGGCUCCCAAGUAUAUGAUGCCAGGAGGCGCUGGAGCUCUUCAUCGAGCUCCGCGUCCGCUGUCGAAGAUAGACCAGGGGCUCCGAUAUUAGGCAACGCCAACACCAUGGACAAUGUGUUUGAGGAAUACGGCGGGGCCUCAGUGAUGAUCCCGGAGGAGGGAAGUGGGUCCAUGGUUUGGAGGGUGAUUUUCGCCUCGACAACCACUUCCUCUACCGGGGCAUCCUCCAGAGAGUGCUCCACCACCACCAAAGAGGUCUGUGCAUUCUCGGAAGCAAAGUCCUGCCCCUCAGCAACAACAAUCUCCAUGGCCUCAUCCGCGACAGCCCUUCCUAUAUCAGCCACCACCUCCAACAGCUCUGGUUCAUUGGCUUGAGGGGCUGCGCAUGAAAGGGCUAGUUAAUAACGGAGAAAUGAAAGUCUUGAGUAGAUAAAAAAUCAGGAGAACCAACCAGAGCAAGAAAUAAAAGAAGGAAUGAGUGGGGUACCUGGAGAGGUCUGCCGCGUAGGAGCCUCUGUCUCGCCGGCAAUGACCGUUGUCAGGCCGUGAGCUUUGCCCCCUGCCGUGGUAGUCUCAGCAGCCUUCCGCGCAGCUUCAUCCACGAAGUGUUCCGUGGCAAGAUCUUCGGCCUAAGAAGCAGGGGAAGCACGCCCCUCGGGGAGGGCCNNNNNNNNNNNNNNNNNNNNNNNNNNNNNNNNNNNNNNNNNNNNNNNNNNNNNNNNNNNNNNNNNNNNNNNNNNNNNNNNNNNNNNNNNNNNNNNNNNNNNNNNNNNNNNNNNNNNNNNNNNNNNNNNNNNNNNNNNNNNNNNNNNNNNNNNNNNNNNNNNNNNNNNNNNNNNNNNNNNNNNNNNNNNNNNNNNNNNNNNNNNNNNNNNNNNNNNNNNNNNNNNNNNNNNNNNNNNNNNNNNNNNNNNNGUCUUCUGCGUCUUCCCCACCAAGGCCGAGCUCUCCACGCCCUCCAGCGACCCGAGGCAUUGGAGCCUCUUCCGGGAAUGAUGGACGAGGGUCUCCGUGUCCUCCUCCACUUCCCUGCCGGCAACAACAAGAACAAGACGAUUGUUCAGCAAAAGCAUUCAUGCCUACCUAAGGGAUAUCUAUCAAAAAGGGAAAUCUUCCUUAACUCUUCCGCGAUUAGCAUGGAAUUCAAGUUGAACUCCGUGGGAGGAGGAGACUCCCGACCCCUCUGCAGAGACGGAAGGGCGGAACUCCCCGGUAGCUUCGGUGCUUGCCGUGGCGCUAGGAGCUUCGGAGAAGAUGAGCUCUACGAGGAGCUUGAGACGGAGGAGGCCUUGCUCUGGGCCAAAUGAGGGGAUUGGUGGAGGUCUUCUUCACUCUAUUGGUGGCUGGCGUUGGGUUGGAUGUUGCCACCCCUCGAGAUGCGACACGCCUGCGGGUGCACUGAUCUGGGUUCAGUGCGGGGGCUUGCGGUCCAGCCGUGAGCCACUCGUCGUCAGGGGCCACCACCGCAUCCUCCGCCUCCUCCUCUCCCUCUUGAAACUCCGUUGCUACUGUGGCUAGGGUGUCUAGCCCGACAAAAUUGUCCCCGGCAAGCUCUUCUCCGGCAGCAUCUUCCGUGGCUUGUGCCACGCUGCCGUGGGAAGAACUUCCGUCCCCAGCUUUCCUUUUGCCCUUCCUGGCCUCUGUGGCCUUCUCCAUAUCUACACGGCGGGCAGCCUUGUCCGCCUCGACCCUCUUUAGAAUAUAAGCCACCUCCACAGCAGAGGUGUGUUUAUACAUCCCCUCUUCAGUCCUGGUGGCCCUCUCCACCAGGGUGUUCGACCACUGGAGCUCUUCAUCCAAAGUAGGGAGCUGCCAAGUGCCCGAUACCCCUUCAGCAUUGCAGGCCGGCAUCCAUUUCUAUAUCUAGUCCCGGGUAGAAUUGAUGUUUAGAGGCAUGAUGGUUGCCGGGAGCUUGAACAACUCGAAGCGACCAAAUAGUUGGUCACACAACCAGCCAUGACCAUAAACUGACAAGUUAUUGGCCAACCCUGGGAGCAACCUCAUCCUAUCUACAGCGUCACCAUACAGCCACGCAGGUCUGUCCCUUUCCCUGUAGUGGCGAGAUGUGGCAGAGAAGAAAAAUCUGCCGCCACGUGCUUAAUGGUUAGCCCGACAAUCGCCAAAAGGGUAAUCCUGUUGAUUGCCGGGCACAACCUAUCCUCGGUAAGGCCUUUGGCACUCCAAUCCUUGCCGCGUGACGGUGACCUGGACUAGGGGGUACUCACCAUGUCGUCUCCCAAUCAGUUGGAUUAGGCUGAGGACCCCCAUGGCCGUAUGCUCAUGGGCCAGUUCGGACAGCCGAUGUAUACACGAGGAAGAUUCCACAAGACUUGGUGAUCAAGACAAGGACUCCUCUCCACCGGCGUAUUCGACUAGGACUCUUGUUAUCCUAGGCCUCUAGUACAUUAUAUAAGCCGAGGCCAGGCUAGUCAGUAGAUUAUUAUGACAUUACUCAUCAUACCUGUAGGGUUUAGACUACAACAUACGAUCUCGAGGUAGAUCAACUCUUGUAACCCCUAUACUCAUCAAAGUAAAUCAACCAGGAAGUAGGGUAUUACCUCCAUCAAGAGGGCCCGAACCUGGGUAAACAUCGUGUCCCCUGUCUCAUGUUACCAUCGAUCCUUAGACGCACAGUUCGGGACCACCUACCCAAGAUCCGCCGAUUUCGACACCGACAAUGGUGCUUUCAUCGAGAGUUCCACUGUGUGAGCGGCAAAGUAUCAAUGGCUCGCCCGCAGAUCAACUGUUACGCCGACAUCUUCGUCGCCAGCUCGACUGGUCACCUUGGCUCGGCUGAGGACCGCGCUCCAUCUCUGGUCGUCAUGUUUGGACCAGGGCCUUCAUCAACAUCAACUCCGAUCUCUAUCAAGAUCAUGGAGGAAUCGUCCAUGGAGCUCGGGGGCAACGUCAACAUUGCCCUCGGGCGACCGUGCUGUUUUUCCAAACAUUGAACUUGUAUAAGCUGACACCACCUCCUCGAUCAUCGCUUUGAUGAUUCCUUAGGUGGAAUUGGGCGGAAUUGAGUAUACAACAACCAUGCAAAACUUCAUCGAGUUCUAAUGGAGGAAUAUCCAGCAAUCUACGAUAUACCGGAGCCCUGUCAAAUCUCGACGGGAAUCUGGACGAGUUUAUGGCAUGGUCUCUAGCACCCAGCUCGGACGUCCUUUGGAAGAUCCAACCGUUGAACGACUGCGGAAUCCUAUAUCUACCACCCCUCAAAAUUUCAGCUCGAUCCGACCGUCCAAACUCCGAGAACCUUCCGAUUAGUGCAUCACUUUUUGGAUCUGUUUUCUAGCGAAUACAGAUCUAACUAGAAUUCAUGUUUCUUUAUGAACGUGAUAUUGGACAACCUUUUUAAAGGAAUUUUCUUCUACGGUAUUGUGCGUUGUUUCUAACACGUGCCCAUAAAAUUUUAAGCCUUCUUUGAGGCACUCUUCACCAUCGCGCUGGUGUCACACCAGUCCAGUAACAUUGCUCCACGUCUACCGACCUGUGCUAGACAGAUCGUCGCUUCAUCGAGCCGAGCCUAACCUUAUCGGAUCAUUAGCUCGGCAAGCCGAACAAGAGUUCGGCAUCGCGAAGGAUAAAUCAUCACCAACACCAUCGCCUCACAGAUUGCACGGGUCAGGCGCGCCGACAUCGCCGCUCGGUCACUUCAUCAAUCCGGCAUUGACUGCGUCACAAGUUAUGACCGGCGUCGACAUGGCCGCACUGUUGCUUUUUUAAGCCGAUGUCCAUCACACUGAACUGCUUGAACACCUCGACUGACAUGGCAGCUACAAUGUAUCCUUACUAACCCGCUCCGUCAUCUCGGCUAGACCAGUGACUUUGUUAUUUAUUCAUCAACAUACUCCGGUGACUUCGGCGUCACCAGCCGACUAGCUUCAUCACAUUAGCUGGACCGGGGGCUUUGCCUUAGUGAGCCCACCUUUGCCAGCAUCGCCAUGCCGUCGCUUUAUUGCCCAUCAGGCAAUGGGUGUGCGGAUCGAGUCCCAAUUUUCAGAGUAACCUUUCUUCAGAUUGCUACAAUAGAUAAACCAGGAGCUAUUAAUCCUAGUAUUUUUUCUUGCUUGGGUUUACUUUUCCCAAGGAAUUAUUACUCUGGUUUGUUGCAUCAUCUGUAGAUAGGUAUAUCAAAUGGUGGCCGCAUUAACAACGAUCGCGUGGUGGUUUGGUCAGUUUCCAUAUACAAUUCGGCAAAUGCCGCAUCCGGAACUCAGACCGGCCUGCGAAUUCAGGCUUGGCCACGCCUUCACCGCGUCACGCCGACGCCCUGCAUCGAUAUGACUUCGGCGCCAGGCCACAUCUCUUUCAAUAAAUUAUUUUUGCGAAAAGCAAUUAUCCUUUUUGGACCGCACUAUUUUAUGUGUGUAGGUGAUCGACUUGACUGCAUCACGCGGUCACUUUGGCAAGUCGACGUCGUUGUCCCAAUUGGCUUGCGUGAUCACCUUGUUGGUCGAAUCGCCAUAUCGACAUAUUCGGUUGCCUCAGGGACUUUGGCAUCGCUGAGAGAGCUCUACCCCAUCGAGUGUUCGACACACGGGCCAUAUUUCUUUUAUUACUCACUUUAUGUAAAUUAUUAAUUAUGCAACAAUUUAUUAUUAUUAUUAUUCCUAUUAUCUCCGGCUUGCACUAUUUUCUGUGCACACGUAAAGGAUCCGGGUCGGGCAGCGCUGUCACCUCGGCGUACCGACGUACCAUGUCACCUCGGCUGGACCAAGGGCUUCAUCAUUACAACAUUAAGCCACGCUGGGGACUUCAGCGUCACACUGCCGGCCUGCAUUGGCCAUGCUAUGUCGCCACUUUGCAGUGCCAAGCACUUCGCUCUGCCACCUCGGGACCGGCUUGGGGGCUGGGACCUUGUCCCACCGUAAGCUCGGGCCAUGCAUCGACACCGAGCACAUUAACCAGCUAAGUCGCUUCCAUGCUUAAAAACUUUCAGUUUUAAAUUUCGUUCGGUUCGACCAAGCAUUAUGCUUUUUUGACAAAAAGUCAUUUGCGAAAAACUUUCUUUGUCAAAACCUUGUUUGUUGCAAGAAAAUUCAAAUACCCCGUUUACUUGGGGGCUUCCAUUAUGAAGCCUUUCCUCUUGCAUUUGAUUAUACUUGUACGACUUCGUUCCUUGUUCGUGUAUUACGCCACAAUAUGCACCAUGUUGACUUAAGUGUUUCGCAAGCUGGGUUGCCUGGCUCCUGUGCUUACCCCUACGUUCUCGAUUGUUUGGCUAGGCGGUAAAGGGAGCACCUCUGUGAUUGUUACUACCGGGUCAUCCGAGUUAGUACCUCAGACUGGGUGAAGCCGAAAGCUAGCGCUCUUAUUGUUUUCAAUAAUGGUCGGCACACAACGGAACUCAUGAGUACAAAAAAUCUAUUGCAGAAGUCUCAUAGUAACAAUGAGCAACCGAUGAAAGGUAUCGGUGGAGGUACUAUUUUCUUCGAAGAUGCUUCUUACACUUCAUCAGUAAUAUAGCAUAAGUUCCCUGAGCGCGCUUUGUCUGUUACAGCCUUAUGUCCUGAUUGCCUGGUUAUCGGAAACACCGUCGAUGCUUUCGACAGGUGGAGUACAUGACACUUUUCGGUCCUUGACCAAAGAGGGAGAAGCCGAUGGUUGGUUAAUACACAUUUAAAGUUUAGGUGAACACAAAUAUGAUAUAAGUACAUCGGUACAUACAAUCAUUAUACAUAAAAUUCUUUUACCCAAGUCACUUGGGGGCUCUUAAAAUUUAUAUGAGCUGUUUUAUAGUAAAUGUGUUUUCUUCUUGGUCGUUGUAAAGUCUUUUUCUACUGCUCCUUUUUCGACUCGAGUGUAUGGUCAAUAGCCGUAUAGCCUGUCUUCUCUCUAAAAAGCCGCUUGAGUUUAGUUCGCUAAACUGGCCUCGAAGAAGUACUCCGCUUUGGGAUAAGGAGCUCAAAGCCGUAGGCUGGCCCACUUGAAGUGUUGAGAUCGGGUGUGUCAUGUUAAAACACGGCAGAAGCACAAUUUUUUCUUUUUUUCCAAUUUUCGGAUUGGCACCGAACACUUGAUCUUGUUCGGACGUCAAGUUUUUACUGACGUUUUUUGGUUUUCCAAGCUUAUGGCACUUUUAAACUAUUUGUGUGUUUUCAGCACAAGUCUCGCAGUGCAACGCCGGACACCUUUAGAGAUUCGGCAAAACAUUCUCGGAUAUUGCUAAAUAUGCAUCAGUUUCGAAUUGUGUCUUCGGUCAAUAGUUGGGUUGCCCGGCUCCUGCGCUUGCCUCCUACGUUCCGCUUUGUUCGGCUAGGUGUGCAAAGGGAGAACCACUGUGAUUGUGCUUCCAGCUCGCAUGGUUAAGCACCUCAGUGGAGAAAGCCGAAAAUUGACUGUCACAAUAAGCGUAAACUGGUCAGCGAUCCGAUGACUACGUUAAAUGACGGGCCGUUCAUAACAUUGGCCGAAGUGUUUACGGCUUGACCUCGGAUGUCGCCAGACACUAAUCGGGGGCUCAUAGCUAGCUUCCCCAGUUUAAAGCUCCUAUGACUAAGUGAAAGUUAUGAAGCCCGCAUAUCUAAUUGCCCCGUUUCUGCUAACAGAACCGCCUUCGGGCACUGAGAUGUCGGCUAAGGGUUGUCUUGUUAUUGCGGAGACACCUCGUGUAGUAUCUACAAAGGGGUAGAAGCCAAUGAUGGGCCACUUUCAAUUGAUAAUCGGUCGCAACGGAGUCAAAAUAAACAUAUCAUCAUCAUUUGUAUUUAAUAUACAAGGGCUGCCUUCCAUAAUCAUCGUUAUAAAGCCAUAAAUAUGCAUCAAUUUGACUUAAGAUUUUUGCCAAGCUGGGUUGCCUGGCUCCUGUGCUUACCCCUAUGUUCCCGAUUGUUCGACUAGGCGGUAAAGGGAGCACCUCUGUGAUUGUCACUACCGGGUCAUCCGAGUUAGUACCUCAGACUGGGUGAAGCCGAAAGCUAGCGAUCUUAAAGGAUCACAUUGGUCAGCAACGACGAAAGUAAUUUUUUUGGUUCAUUAAUACCACAGAGUUCGGGAACUUUCCCCGAACUAAAUCCUCAAUAUUUUCCUCCCACAUUGAUUGGAGGUGAGGUUUCAUGAUCAUGAUAAGCAUGAUGACCCAAAGAAAGGAACCGAUAGUGGGACUAUUUUCCUUGGAAGAUGUUUCUUACAUUAAGUAAUAUAACAUAUCUCUCCGCGUACCUUUGUUUAUAAAACCGUAUGGCCGGAUUGCCUUGUUUUCCAUAAAUCUUUUCCCUUAUAAUGGCUUUAUAAAGUAGGACAAACACUCCCCGGCUUCUGGAUGAGGAGGUUGAAGCCGAUGGUCGGUCAACAAAGUUUUGUACAAUGCGGAUCCGAGCAUUAAUGAUGUAAAGUACUUGGAUACGUAGAAUCAUUACACAUAAUUUGUGGUUUUACUCUGGAUAUCGAUCCUUAAUUUAGCCACCCGUGCCCACAUUAAGGCUCGGGGGCUACUGGGCUUCGGGCUUAUCAUUCACUAAUAUUGAAAGGGGCGUAUCAAUCCCCUGGUCUGGUGUUUCCACCCGACCAGUGUCUCGGGGGCUACUGCAUUGACAAUCCAAUGAAGAAAAUUUAAAGUGCAAUAUAGCUUUCGAGGAGAUUAUGAUCCUCAGGUUGGUCGGCCGCACCCAACCUGAGUCUCGAGGAAUUUGCACACCGGUUUUUGUGUCCCGAAGUAUUCUGCCGAGCUAGGAGUUGAUCCUCAGGCCGAUUUUGUGAAUCAACCUGAGUCUCAGGGGCUACUGGGAUCAGCGGUCUUAUGUCAUCCUUCAGGUGCAUCUCGGGUUUUAGACCGAUGCACACCUUGAGGGCUACUGGCUAUAUAUCUCAGCAGAGAAUAAAUUGCACCAAUAAAAAAUAUUCACAAAAAAUCGGCCCGCAGUCGGGGUGGCGCACCACCUCGGAAGCAGUCCGACAUAAAGCUUGGGUGCUAGGGGCUGGCUCCAUAGAGGGCAUUUCCGGCAUUAAGCUUGGCUAAACUCCUUCAACUUUUUUGAACCAAGGUGAUUUAUGACACCUCGGAUAUAGUCCGGCGUUGGAGCUCGGAUACAGUCCGGUGUUGGAGCUUGGACAUAGUCCGGCGUUGGAGCUCGGAUACAUUCCAGUGUUGGAGCUUGGAAGCGGUCCGGCGUUGGUGCUCGGCUGCAAAAGAUACCUCGAAUGCAGUCCAGCGUUGGAGCUCGGACGCAAGAGGACGCUGCAGCCCGGGAACAACUUCAAACCCGAGGUGUGGCAUAAAAAUAAAUGGCAUUGAUAAAUGCCGAGAACUUAAAGGGGUGUAACACCCAUGAUGCGGCUAUAUCUCCCAUGUAUCGGAGCACGACUUAGAGGCAUAACCGCAUUGUAGGCAUGUCGCAAGAGGGGUAAUCUUUACACAUCCCAUGUACUGAAUAAGAAAGAGAUACAUAGUUGGCUUACAAUCGCCACUUCACACAAUACAUAAAUAUAGCAUUACAUAAUCCAGAAUACAAUCAAGGUCCGACUACAGAACCAAAAUAAAGAAAGACAACCCCUAAUGCUAGAUCCCCGAUCGCCCCGACUGGGCUCCACUACUGAUCAACUAGAAAACGAAACAAGACAAUGAACACGAUCUUCAUCGAGCUCCUCCUUGAGCUCGGCUGCGUCAUCUGCACUGGUAUUAACAACACCUGCAACUGGUUUUGGAAGUAAUCUGUGAGUCACGGGGAAUCAACAAUCUCACACCCUCGUGAUCAAGACUAUUUAAGCUUAUGGGUAGGAAAGGGUAGUGAGGUGGAGCUGCAGCAAGCACUAGCAUAUAUGGUGGCUAACUUACGCAAAUGAGAGCGAGAAGAGAAGCAAAGCACGGUCGUGAAUCUAGAAGUGAUCAAGAAGUGAUCCUGAAACUACUUACGUUCAAGCAUAACACAAGAACCGUGUUCACUUCCCGGACUCCGCCGAGAAGAGACCAUCAUGGCUACACACGCGGUUGAUGCAUUUUAAUUAAGUUAAGUGUUAAGUUUUCUACAACCGGAUAUUAAAUAAUUCCCAUCUGCCCAUAAUCGCGGGCACGGAUUUCGAAAGUUCAAAACCCUACAGGGGUGUCCCAACUUAGCCCAUCACAAGCUCUGAUGGUCAACGAAGGAUAUUCCUUCUCCCAGGAAGACCCGAUCAGACUCGUAAUCCCGGUUACAAGACAUUUUGACAAUGGUAAAACAAGACCAGCAAAUCCACGCGAUGUGCCGACAAAUCCCGAUAGGAGUCGCACGUAUCUCGUUCUUAGGGCACACCGGAUGAGCCAAACGUCGGGCUGGCAUAGACCCUGGUUGCCCAGGGGGCGCCGGACAUCGCUCAGGUUGGACCAACACUUAGAGAAGCACUGGCCUGGGGGGGGGGGGGUUAAAAUAAAGAUGACCCUUGAGUUUGCAGAAAGGAAGGGCUUAGGUGGCAAAUGGUAAAACCAAGGUUGGGCCUUGCUGGAGGAGUUUAUUCAAAGCGAACUGUCAAGGGGUUCCCAUUAUAACCCAACCACGUAAGGAACGCAAAUCAAGGAACAUAACACCGGUAUGAUGGAAACUAGGGCGGCAAGAGUGGAACAAAACACCAGGCAUAAGGCCGAGCCUUCCACCCUUUACCAAGUAUAUAGGUGCAUUAAUUAAAUAAGAGAUAUUGUGAUAUCCCAACAAUAAUCAUGUUCCAACAAGGAACAAACUCCAUCUUCACCUGCAACUAACAACGCUAUAAGAGGGGCUGAGCAAAGCGGUAACAUAGCCAAACAACGGUUUGCUAGGACAAGGUGGGUUAAAGGCUUGACAUGGUAAUAUGGGAGGCAUGAUAUAGCAAGUGGUAGGUAUCGCGGCAUAACAAAAGAGCGAGCAACUAGCAAGCAAAGAUAGAAGUGAUUUCGAGGGUAUGGUCAUCUUGCCUGCAAAUUCCUCCGAGUUGACAAAGGCUUGAUCCUCGUAAGCAUACUCAACGGGUUCCUCGAACACGAACUCAUCUCCCGGCUCUACUCAAGGCAAGUACACAAGCAAAGGAAACCACAAUCAACCACGGUGCAAUGCGCAAUCAACAUGAUGCAAAACAUGGCAUGAUAUGCGGGAUGUGAAAUGCAAUGCAUAUGCAUACUCCGGAAGGGAAAGAUCGAACCAGGCCUCAACUUGGCAAACCAAGUGCGCCGCUGGAAAGAUGAGUUGAGUUUGGUCAAAAUCGAUAUAAAGAUCACCGGAAUCGGAUGCACGGUUUGCAAAUGGCAAGCAAAACAAGAAUGGCACAAUAUGCGAUUAACAGCACGAUGCCAUCUAGAAUGCAACCAGAAACUAAGCUACUGCACUCCAAUAUUGCAACAAAGCACAUGGCAAAGAUGUACUCAAGAUGCUUGACAAAAGAUGAAUACUGAGCUAUAGCUAAAUCACACAAGAGUAGGUUCAAACAAGCAUGGCAAAAGGGCAAAAGAUAUCAACAUCACAGACUUAGUGAAAAUACUAACAUGUCAGGAUUUAACAUCAGGAAUCAAUGUUUAGAGCAAGAUAACAACAUGCUACAGGAACAGUACAUAGCAAUACAAGUCAUGGCAUGAAUCUACUCAAAGCAUAUAACAAAAGUCGCUUACUGACCAUAAGCCAAAAAGGACCAGAAGAUAUGAUGGCACCCAUGUAAACAUAGCAAGUUUCGUUAACAGAUUCAGACUUGGCAGAAAACUGGACAUGGCAUAAACAGAAUUACAAAGGCAUGUUUGCGAGCUCGACGCACUCAACACAAAGCAUUUCAUGACAAACUAAGCAUACACCCAUCAAGAAGACAUGAUCAAGAAUCUAAACAUGGCAAGAACAAUCUCAUAGCAUGCAUGGAUCAACUACAACAACCUUGGCAAAAUUGAUUAACAUGUAAACAAUCCGCCAGGAACAUUUUAUAGCAAAAGUAGAGCAAGAUUGAGUCAUGCUAGGGUAAUCCAUAAAUGCAAACAUGGACAUGGAUGUAUAGAGCACAACCAUAUGCUCAAAUCAUCCUUACUGAACAUACUCAAAAGAAGCAUGGAUCACUCUGUAGCAACACGAAUACAUGGCAUUAAAAUAACAACAGGGAAAUGACUUAGUGAAAAACUAAGUCUCUGAAAUCAGCAAUAUCACGAGAGCUACUUUGCAUGCUUGUGCUAGUCACCACAUUGAUCACAAAAAUACAUGGCAUACACCCCUGUAAAGAUGGCAUGGCAUAGCCCAAAACACAUGUAGAGCUCAUGACCAUAUGCAGCACACAAUAAUCAUGGCAAAAAUGACAAAAGCUCACAAUCUGAUAAGAAUUAGCACCUAACAUUUUAUAACACUCUUGCAACAGUCAUUAGGGCAUCAAGAUGGACUCAAACAAGCAUGGUGCAAUGGAACAAAAUGAAGAGCUCAACCAGAUGAACAUUUUGAUAUAUUAUACAUGAAAAUGGAUCUACGGAUGAGGAGUUAUGGCACGAUGAAGAUGGCCUGAAAAUAAUGCAGAAAAAGACUUAGAGAAUAUGUGGACCUCCGGAUCUGAGAUCUAGGGUUGGCGCGGAUCCCGAGGUUCACCGGAGUCUUGACGGGAACUGACGUCGGAGAGGAAGGAGAUGACCGAGGCGGUGCGGGGAGGCGGCCGGCGAGGUCGAGGCGGCCGGAUCCGGUCCGGCCCGACCGAAUUUGCGACGCGCGGGCAAUGUUGCGGGGGCGGCGGGCGCGCAGGAGGCGNNNNNNNNNNNNNNNNNNNNNNNNNNNNNNNNNNNNNNNNNNNNNNNNNNNNNNNNNNNNNNNNNNNNNNNNNNNNNNNNNNNNNNNNNNNNNNNNNNNNNNNNNNNNNNNNNNNNNNNNNNNNNNNNNNNNNNNNNNNNNNNNNNNNNNNNNNNNNNNNNNNNNNNNNNNNNNNNNNNNNNNNNNNNNNNNNNNNNNNNNNNNNNNNNNNNNNNNNNNNNNNNNNNNNNNNNNNNNNNNNNNNNNNNNNNNNNNNNNNNNNNNNNNNNNNNNNNNNNNNNNNNNNNNNNNNNNNNNNNNNNNNNNNNNNNNNNNNNNNNNNNAGGCGCGCUGGGGAGGGCGCGUGGCACGACGGGAGUGGCCGCGGGCGAAGCUGGCGGCGGCGCUGGCCAUUGGGGGCGCGACAAGUGGUGGGGAGUGGUGGCCGGACACGUCCGUCGGUGGAAGAAAUGUCCGGCGGCGGCGGGAAGAGGGAGAGUUAGGGUUCAUCCGUGAAAUUUCGGGGAGGCACACAUAUAUAUAUAGGUAGAGGGAGCUAGGAGAGUCCAAAAGAGGUGCGGUUUUCGGCCACGCGCUCGUGAUCGAACGACCGAGAGGAUGGAUGGGGUUUGGAUGGGUUUUGGGCCACUUUGGAGCGGUGUUGGGCUGCAACACACACGAGGCCUUUACAGUUCCUAGUUAACCGUUGGAGUAUCAAACGGACUCCAAAUGGCACGAAACUUGACAGGCGGUCUACCGGUGGCGAACCAAGGCCUCUUGGCAAAUCUCGGUCCAAUCCGAGAACAUUUAACACCCGCACAUGAAAAGAGGCAAAAGGGGGCGCCAUAGGACGUAGGAGUGUCGGAGCGCGAAACGGACAAUGGGGAAAAUGCUCAGAUGCAUGAGACGAACACGUAUGCAAAUGAGAUGCACAUGAUGACAUGAUAUAAAAUGCAUGACGCGCAAACAAAUGACAAGGCAACAAUAGCGAAUAACUGGAAGACACCGGGCGCAAUGGUCUCGGGGCGUUACAAGGGGCUCCUCGGAUACCCGACGUGUAAACUCUUCAGAUUUACUUCGGCGAUCCUCAAGAUCGAAGAUGGGAAGAUUUGUUGAACCAAUUUUCAAGACCGACGACCGAAGAUGAAGAACAGUUCGGAAGAAUCGAGGAGCGUCCCCAACUUGAAGACCGGUUCAGGGGGCUACUAACGGUGUCCUGGACUAGGGGGUAGUCACCACGUCGUCUCCCAAUCAGUUGGAUUAGGCCGAGGACCCCCAUGGCCGUAUGCUCAUGGGCCAGUUCGGAUAGCCGAUCUAUACACAAGGAAGAUUCCACAAGACUUGGUGAUCAAGACAAGGACUCCUCUCCACCGGUGUAUUCGACUAGGACUCUUGUUAUCCUAGGCCUCUAGUACAUUAUAUAAGCCGAGGCCAGGCUAGUUGGUAGAUUAUUAUGACAUUACUCAUCAUACCUGUAGGGUUUAGACCACAACAUACGAUCUCGAGGUAGAUCAACUCUUGUAACCCCUAUACUCAUCAAAGUCAAUCAAGCAGGAAGUAGGGUAUUACCUCCAUCAAGAGGGCCCGAACCUGGGUAAACGUCGUGUCCCCUGUCUCCUGUUACCAUCGAUCCUUAGACGCACAGUUCGGGACCCCCUACCCGAGAUUCGCCGGUUUCGGCACCGACACCGCGCUCGAUGCACUCCUUCUGUGCUUCGCAGAACUCGGGGGCUUCCUUGUCCUGGAUCCAGCACCAAUCCCCUCUCCAUUCAUCCCACCUUUCACGCUGAUUAUCAGGGAGGUAAUCCCUAAUCCUCCUUGCCACGCGUGGCAUCCAGCUGAUGAUUCCGAAAGGUUAACUUUGCUCUCCACCCGCGGGACGAAGUAAUGCCAGAACAGAUCCACAUUGGGCGUCAUGCUGACAAAAUUCUCGCACAAAUGCCUGAAAAUGGCCAUGGUCGCCAUUUCAUUUGGCGUGAAGUCGAUGAGGUGGAACCCGUAGAUGUUCAGGAUUGCCUCGAAGAACUAAGAGAAGGGAAACAGAGGCCUAAGAUGAAGUUAGUGCUGAAGAACCGAUAAGAAUCCGAUGGAUCUUCCUCCCCCGCUUCAUAAACUACGGGUGCUCCAUGCCCUUUCUCAAUGGGCCUCCCCCACAAAUACCCAUACUUUGCUUGAAGAACGGGGCCACUCAAGGUAGAAGGGAUGAAGACGAUGUCUUCGCUCCGUUUCUUGUUUAGCUCAGCCGACCUCUUGCUUCCCUCGCUGGCAGCCUCCUUCGCCGCGGCCGUCGGCUUUCUCUUCUCCGUGGGUUUCUUCCCCAUUCCUGCAGCAACACGAAGGGGGGAGGGAUUCUAUGGGGAGGGCGGCGACAAAAGGAAGAGCGAGGGGAGGAAUUGUCGCUUGGCUUGUGGAGAAAGAAGGUGGGGGAGUGAAGUUGGAGACAAGUGAAUCGUGCCACUUUGUNNNNNNNNNNNNNNNNNNNNNNNNNNNNNNNNNNNNNNNNNNNNNNNNNNNNNNNNNNNNNNNNNNNNNNNNNNNNNNNNNNNNNNNNNNNNNNNNNNNNNNNNNNNNNNNNNNNNNNNNNNNNNNNNNNNNNNNNNNNNNNNNNNNNNNNNNNNNNNNNNNNNNNNNNNNNNNNNNNNNNNNNNNNNNNNNNNNNNNNNNNNNNNNNNNNNNNNNNNNNNNNNNNNNNNNNNNNNNNNNNNNNNNNNNNNNNNNNNNNNNNNNNNNNNNNNNNNNNNNNNNNNNNNNNNNNNNNNNNNNNNNNNNNNNNNNNNNNNNNNNNNNNNNNNNNNNNNNNNNNNNNNNNNNNNNNNNNNNNNNNNNNNNNNNNNNNNNNNNNNNNNNNNNNNNNNNNNNNGCUUCAGAAAGUUGCCAUUUUUCCUUAACUACAACAGUCCAACGACCCCACGAUGCGCAGUAAUUGCACGAAGUGGACGUGGGAUUGACUAGUCACCAUGGCAAACCGGUGUGCAGAGCCAUAUCCUGCCACGUGUCUGUGCAUUUUUUGGGGCCUAACCCAACGUGCCGCGCAACACAUGUGGCUCAGGCCCAGGGGCUUAUGUCGGGGAAAAUAUACAGGGGUAUAUGUUUUCCCUUGACUCGUGCACAGACAAGCCAAGACCGAGUCAAGAUAUACAAGAAACCAAGAGAUUUGAAGGAUCAACAUGCAGAUCAGAGGGACCAAGAAUGAACCAAGCACUACAAAAGAAAUACACUUCCGUGAUGAUACGUGUUUGUCACAGUAGGUCAUGUUUUUGUCAUGCAUGUACGUCCAUGAUGAUUUUAUGACAGAAUCAAGAUUGUCAUACCCGUGCUAUCGUAGAAGUGUUCCACGACAUUACCAAAAUUAUCAUCACGGAAGUGUCCACUUCCGUGAUGAUAAAUCGCGCAUCAUAGAAGUGCUUUCGUCAAGGGUGACCGACACAUGGCAUCCACCAUAACGGGUCGCCGUUAAGCUGUCGGGUUCUGGUUUGGAUCUGAUAAACCAUUAACAGCCCAGACCAAUGGGCAUUUUCCACAUGUAAAAUCAUUAUUGGCUAGAGGAAACACAUGUCGGCUCCUCGGUGGGCUAGAUGUCGUCCGUCCAUUGGAGGAGACAUGCCUAUGAUACGUCGACACGUGGCAGGGCCCAACAGAGGCCGAUAUAGGUUAAAAGGCCGGCCCAGUCAAAGGCCCGUACUACUUACUCAUGUACUAGUGGGCUAGCCCAAUAACAGCCUGUUUAAGAAUGGCCCAUUUACGGCCCAAAACAAGAUCUGGCUCGUCAAUUGUUGGCCGAUUAUUUGGGCCCAAUUAUGGCCCAGUGACUUUCGACCUAUUAGAGGCCCGAUGUAGACAUGGGCCCAUUUCAGCCUGGUGUGUCUUUUGGCCUGGGAAUGGCUCAUGCUGCCCAUGGGCCAUAUAUGGUUCGACGCAACAUCCAGCCCACUAACGUCCCGUGAUAAAUGUAGCAAUAGUUCAGACCAACGUGACUUUGGGCCUGUUAAAGGCCUGUAGUAUAAUUCGGCCCGUUGAUGCCUGUACUAAGCUUUCGACCUCUUAAAGGCCCAUGAUAUCAAUGGGCCAACUAAGGCCUGAGAUAUGUUUCGGCCUGGUAACGGCCCAUCAUAUAACUGGGCCAAAAAAGGACCGGUCUACAUUUCAACCUACCGAAGGCCCGUCGACGACUAGUGAAAAUUGAGGCCCAACAUGCAUUUCGGCCUGCUAAAGGCCCAUGGUUUCUUCUGGGCCGUAAUAGGCCAGCGGAAUAUUCAGCCUGUUAAUGGCCCAAAGCUACAUGGGCCAAACUAAGCGCUGGGUCCACAAAAGUCCCAACUAAAAUUUGUGCCGAAUUUAGGCCGGAGUAAGUUGUCGGCCUGGUGAAAAGUGUCGUGGAAUUGUCACGGCAGAUGUCCUAGUGUGAGGACUUAGUCGUGGAGCCAUCACACUAGGUUAGCUUAAGGGGGUUAAACAGAACAAAGGACACAGGAGUUUAUACAGGUUCGGCCCCUUGCAGUGAAGGUAAAGGACUACUCCAGUUGAGGUGGUAUUGCUUAAGUCUCGAUUACCAGAGAGCGAAUAUGAUUGACCUAGCUUUCGAUUUGUUGUUUCUUGCCCUAAGUCGUGUUGGGUAACGCAGUAAAUUUAAAACUUUUACCUACGCACACGCAACACUACAAAAAAAUACACUUCCGUGAUGAUACGUGUUUGUCACAGUAGGUCGCUUUUUUGUCAUGCAUGUACAUCCAUGACAAAUUUAUGACAGAAUCAAGAUAGUCAUACCUGUGCUGUCGUAGAAGUGUUCCAUGACAUUACCAAAAUUAUCAUCACGGAAGUGUCCACUUCCAUGAUGAUAAAUCACGCGUCACAGAAGUGCUUUCGUCAAGGGUGACCGACACGUGGCAUCCACCGUAACGGAACACCGUUAAGCUAUCAGGUCGGGUUUUGGAUUCGAUAACCCAUUAACAGCCCCGACCAAUGGGAAAUUUCCACGUGUAAAAUUCUUAUUGGCCGGACGAAACACGUGUCAGCUCUUCAGUGGGUCAGAUAGGCGCCUAUGAUAUGUCGACACGUGGCACGACCCAACAAGUUUAAAUGGGCCAGCCCAACUGAAGGCCCACAAGAUUUUGUGGACCAUAAUGGGCCGGCCCAGCUAAAGGCCCACAAGAUUUUGCGGACCGUAAUGGGCUGGCCCAGCUAAAGGCCCACAAGAUUUUGCGCGCCAUAAUGGGUCGGCCCAGGUAAAGGCCCACAAGAUUUUUGUGUGCCAUAAUGGGCCGGCCCAGGUAAAGCCCACAAGAUUCUUGCGGGUCAUAAUUGGCCGGCCCAGCUAAAGGCCCACGAGAUUUCACCGACAUUAAUGGGCCGACCCAGCUGUAGGCCCACAAGAUUUUGAGGACCCUAGUAGGCCGGCCCAUUAACUGGCUGCCAUGUUUUGGGCCAAAUGCCGGCCCAUAUUUGAUCCGGUCCAUUAAUGGCAUGCCACGCUCCGGGCCUAAUAGUGGCCCAUAUGAGAUCCGACCUGUUAAAAGCCUACCACAUUCUGGGCCAAAUUACGGCCCAGAUCAGGUCCGGCCCUUUAAGAGGCUUUGGGCUCAAUUAUGGCCCAUAUCAGAUUCGUACCGUCAACUAGACACUAUACUUUUGGGCUCACUUGCUAAAGGCCCACUUAGUAAUUCGACCUAAUAUUAGUUUUGGCCUGUUAAGUGCCCGUUUAAAAUUUCGGCCCUAUAUUAAUUUCGGCCUGUUAAAAGCCAGUCAUAUAGUUGGGCCAAACUACGGCCCUGUUUGCAUCUGGCCUGCUCGCAGCCAAUAUCUGAUUGGGCCAAACAAGGACCGAGACAAUUUUGGCCUGUUAAAAGCCCGUGAUUUUAUUCGCACAAUCAUGGGUCGGGGUUCAUUUCAUGCUGCUGCGUAACUAGUAUGAAUUAAGAACAAAGCUACUCUAUACAAUAAAGAAAUUACGGCAUAGUAACUUAGAAUAAACCUACACUAUACAAUAAAGGUUUUAAGGUAUAUUACAUCCACUAGGCAUCUAAGUUCACCACCAGUGAUCAUAAAGCGCAACGUAGAAGCAGAUUACAAAAACUGGGCACCAUUGCAGCGUAACAAAAUAAUACUGAACCGAGACCACUUCGAAGAUAGUUCAAGAAAGGUUAGCCUUGCGGGGGAACUACUGUGCAGGCUGUUGAGCAAGGCCAUGAGACCGGCCUAGCAUGUCGGUCAUAGCUUCCAGGUGUAGCUGUUUAGCAAUGAGGUUCUCAUUGGUGUUCUCCGCAAUCUUUCUUAGAGAUAGGACUUCAAGUCGAAGUUGAGUUGCAGAAUGCCUUUCUGCUAGAACUUGGGACUGAAGAAGUCGAACUAAUUCAGACAACGAAUUCUGUGAGCUUGUCUGACUGUUAGUGUCAAGUAACUCGAACACUGCAUCAAGACAAGACUUUGGGGUUGUCUCGCUAUCUUCAAGAUGUUUUGCCUUCUUUGCUGUAAUAUAUGUUGGGUUUGUCUCACAGCCUUCAGCAGACUUGUGCAUGCCAUCAGACAUUCACCCCGAAACAAAGCAGAGAGAUGACAUGUUUUCCACGUGUAUAAACAAAGAUGAUAACUAUUCUGUCAAUUCUAUCCAAUUUCAAAUUAGAAAAUAAAGAGUAUGUUCAAAAUAUCAAUAGCAUAAUUUGGCAUUGUUCAUAAUGCGGGGAGCUUCACCACACUACUGGAUUACCAUGUCAACAUAACAAGCAUAGAUGAAGGGCAAAGAAAAUCAUUGUAUCUAUUUUGGAUAAUGUGCAUGGCAUGUUGUUCAUAUCAUCAGCUACAUCAGUAAGAUAAAACAGGAGAUGACAAGGUGCAAACGUGAGCUGUUUCACCACACACUGGAUUAUAGAUCCACAAAACAAGCAUACAUAUAGGGAGUAUUAAGUAAUGUGCAUGGUAUGAAUAAGGAAUUUGGUUUUACAAGUAAAACUUAGAACUUACGGUUCUUACGAACAUGCAUUUUGGUAGAAACAACAAACUAAACAGCAGUAAACGAUAGGGAGUAUGAGCAAAUUAAACAACAAUUGAGGAUAAAGGCUUUAGAAGGACCGACUUACAUUAACAGUUAACACCGGCUUUAUAAUGCCCUUCUCCAUGUCAAGGGAAGGAUAACUCAAGAAUUUCAGCACAAAAUCUUCUUCAUAAGCAUUGCCUGUACUCUACAUUUUGUAGAGAGUAAUUAUAGAUAUGAUAAUACUGGAAGGGGUAGAGGAUAAUGAAGAUAAGAUGCAGAUUGAUGCUACAUAAUCAACUACCAAUCCCUGGAAGUACAAGCGUUACAGGACAAAAUGUACUGACAAGAGCAAUGGGCUACACUUCUGCACUGGCAUUGUCUGUGUAUUCUACUUGUUGGUAAGAUUAAAUAUAGAUCUGAUCUUUUUUAGUAAAUGGUGGGCGAGGGAGAUAAGAUGCAGAAUGCUACAAAAUGAACCAAUCCCUCUUCCCAAAAUACAAGAGUGUUUUGAACACUGGUGUACAGUACAAAACGUUCUUAUAUUAUGGGACGGAGGGAGUAGCUGUUAAUGUAAGUACAGUGAUAGACCACGUUCAAUCCUUACAAGAGGACUGCAGAGCUAAACCUCUUCAAAAGCAUUGGGUUGAUUCUAAAUUUAUGUAAGAGUCCAUACAGAUGUUAUAAUGUCCACCAAAUGGAUGAUUACGAGGCUAACAUGUGCAGUGAUGCUACAUAAUCAAACAGCUAUGAAAGUAAAUAUGGUCAUACAGGGCAAGAGGUACUCACAAGAGCAAUGCAGUGUGCAGUAUAGUUGCGAGAUUCUGUGGUCCCUUGAGAACGAAUGUUCUUCUGCUAACAGUUUUCGUACAAGUGGGACAUUAAGGCAAAUGCAGAAAUGUAGUUCAAAUUGUGAUGUGAUAUCAUAGACAGUACCUUACGCUGCAGCCGAGACCAAUGUGUAACAAGAUUAUUCCAGUCACCAUCGGAUAAAAGUAGCACCGGAGACUUUAUAGAAAUUUCGUUCAGAGGCUUGCCAUCGAAGUGCGCUUGCCUUAGGUAGGAACGAUACUUCAUCAACGAGUGCUUGAAAAGCGCAACCAACCCUUGCUCGUCAUCACAAUCCAGUUUGCGCCUCGCCUAUUUAAAAGAAUGAAAUCUUGUGUCUUCUGUCAGCAGAAACAUAUGCGGUAAUGAUCAUGAAUAACAUUAGUACAUUACUUACGCGUAAGUUGUGGAGGAAGACUGGAAAUUGUUCUGUGUCUGCGGUAUAAUCUUUCCAUGAGGGAAAGAUGCGCACAAAGUUCCUGACAACAACAUAAGCUUCGUCUUCUGAACUGGGAAGAAAUGGAACAGGGGUCCUAUUUGCUGCAAUUGGGGCUCUCUCUGGUUCGAAAAGGGACUUGGCAACUGGAUUUGGUGUACUCUUUGCUGGAUUGGGGGUUUUGCAUCGUACAGCUGGUGCUAUGUCAACUGGCAUAAUCAUACUGUUUGCUGCAGUUGGGGUCUGCUGAGUUGGGGCAUCAGAAAUGACCAGUAUAGUAGGGCUAGAGUCUGCUAGAGUUGGGGUAUUUUGUGGGUCAGGUGAUAUUGCAACUACACCUAAUGGGCUAUUUGAUUUAUCAGGUGCCACUACCUUUUCCAAGUACUUUGCUUGUGCUCCUCCACGAUCAGCAAUCACCCUCUUCCUUUUGAACGUCUGAUACACAAGAAUAGCAUUUGAAUGGAUAAAUAUGGUAUGAUGACAGAUGGAAUAUGUACUAAAAAUGGAUAGGCAGGCGUAUUCACAUACACGAUGUGUAAACUAAGCUAAUGGCAGUUCAACAAAGUAGAAGCAAUGCAAAGCAUCAGUUGCAAGAUAUGUGCGAACAAUGUAACCUUGGAAAGUUAGAGCAAGUACCUUGAUGGGUGAAUAAGAUAGGGCAUCUUCCUCUGACUCCUCCACUAGGGAGCUACAUUGACUUAGGUCUCCCUGUAGCUCAGAAUCACUGUUAGGAUCAUAUUUUGAGCACGAAUCUGUAGGUGGAGAGUGUUUGCAUUGCAUUGCAUCCAGACUUGAUUUCAGUCCCUUAAUGCCAAGUUUGACAGCCAUGGCAUUGUUCUACUUUAUUCUUUUCAUGCGCACAAGCUCAUAAUCAUUAUGAUGCUGUUCAGAAUCUGAGAUUCAUGAAAACAUAAAAAGUAGCCAGAUUAUCUAUGGAAUGCAUUGCGGUUUCAACUCGGAGAGUGUCUUCCUAUAAACCCAUGCACAUGCAAAGUUCACCUCCCCAACCGUGCUGACCAGACCACACACAGAGAUACACACCCGAGCGGCGAACAUGCAUUUUCGAAACUAAUUUAGGAACAUUUAGCUGACCAAUAAACAACUCUAUUUUAAUAAUAUCAGAUUCGUAUUUGAACAACUAAGCUUGUUUAGCUUGAUGGGUGGAGGAGUGUUAUUAUGAAACGAAGCACGUAUUCUGAUUGUAUAGUGAUCAUAAAAGGGGGAAACCUAAGCAUAUAUUUUUUUAGCAAAAGAGGGUUUCCCCUCUGAUUUCUAUUAAAGAAACCACGACGGAACCAACAUGAUCAGUUAAGCCCUAAGCAUGAUCAAUUAAACCGUAUUAUGGCUGUGCCAUGGCAGAUUUGAAGCUGCAAACCGGAGAAAUGAUAUUUAGCAUCCAUUGUUUGCUUCGAACUAAGAACUAAAUUCUAAGAGCUGAAAAGAAAGUAGAGUAACCAAGUUAAGAUCUAUUUUCUGGUUGAGAUCAAAAAGUUGAGGAGAUAUGAAGUACCACCUCUCUUGCGGCGCCGUGUAGGCAUCGGGGGUGCGAUGGCUGUCGGUGGCGUUGAAGCAGAUCUGCGACGGUAGACAGGUGCAUCGGGGGAUAAGUCCCGUUGCGGUGGAAGAGAAGGUUGUGUGAGCGGCCCCGACAAAGAGGAUGACGGCGCCGAUGAAGCGAGAGGAUGCAAUGCAAGGCUAUUGGUCCAUCACUGUGGAUGAGAAACGUCCAUCUCUAGCAGUGGACGAUGCGGUCUUGGUAGGCGCUCCGGCAUGGUGGAUGACGAUGGCGAUGGAUGUGGUGGAGGAUGGCGGCGAUGGAUGGGGUGGCGGACGGAUGCUGGUGUGGGAAUGGGGUGUUCUAGCGCAGACGGUGUAUGAAUGGGAAAAUGGAGGGAGAGGUACGGGGAACCAUGUUUUUGGGACGUGCCUGUCUGAAAUAUGGGAAAGUUACGAACUUAUCCCCCGUUUCAAAUUUGGACGUCUCGUCGGUUGGAGAUAGGACGGUAAUCUCGCAUCUCCCAAAUAUUUGCCGGUAACUAUUUCGGGCGAGGAGAGGGUGUUUUGCCACCCACGGUUGGCGCCCAUGGUGUAUGAAUGGGGCUGACAGGUAGGGCAGUUGUGUCACGUCUGAUGGAAGUUACACAUCUGCCCCUAUUUAAAAUAUUAGCCUACAUCUAUUUCAGACGAGGAGAGUUUGUUUUGCCGCCCACCGUGUAUGAAUGGGUAAUGGAGGGAGAAACAGAGGUCUUUCGGACGAGCUUGAAUCAAAUGAGUUUUGCCGCCCAUGUUUGACGCCCACCAUGUCGGAAUGGUCUCAGAGGCGGUCGUGUCACGUCUAAUUGAAGUUACUAACCUACCCCUAUUUAGAGCAGUGGAAAUCGGGCCGAUGGAUUGUCCGUGUAAUGGGUAGACAGUAAUUUCCAUCUCCCAAACACUUGGCUUCGGGCAGCCGAUGUGGGAGUGGGCAUUUUGCUGUUUCUUUCAAAUUUUGGGACAAUAAGCAUCCACGUUUACCCUAUCAACUAAAUUCGAAUCCAUUUUGUAUUCCUAUAUGAAUCUUUAUAAAUCAUUCUAUGUGUUUUUUUAUAUCUUCAAAAGGACGACAAAGAUGUAUUCCACUGUCAUACAUGAAUAUGGUUUACAAAUGCCGAUACUCAAAUUCAGAAACUAGAAUCCAGUUUAAGGUGAGUUCGAAUAUUUGGAACACUUCAUGUCCAACUCAAAUGUCACACGCAGCAUAAUGUGUACUCCCAUUUAGAUAUGUACACAAGCGAUGUAUCAAGAUUCAAAUACCGAGUCAAUCAACCAAGAAUGUACAGAACUAACAGACAUAUAAACACUUAUAGAGUAUAUGGAUCAAUAAUAUCAACUAACAUACAUAAGCCAGGCUGCUGUACUUUUUCUUGGCUACAACAACAUCCUUUUUUUAGCCCGCAUCUUGGCCCUUUCUGAUGUGUGCCACUUAUGGUCCAUCUAUGUAACGCCCCGGACACACCCGCCGAUGGUCGUUACUCCUGGCGGGAUCUAGACUGGCCCCACAGAUCAAUACUAGUCUUUUCUGCACACUUUGUCCUCACUCAUGCACACCCGGGAGCAACUUCCCGGUCGGUCACCCAUCCUAACACUACUCCAAGCUGAGCACGCUUAACUUUGAAGUUCUAUCCGAAUGGGCUUCCAGAAAAGAAGGAAUUCCUUAUUGAUAUGAGUAGUCUAUCAUCCCUAAUAAGCCAGGCCAUCACAUACACCCCCACUCAGAGGAACCGACGUCCUCGUCGGGCCACAGGAACGUUCCCUCUUGGCACAUACGUCUGUGCUUCCAGUCCAGUACAUGUGCCAUGCCGUGUGCCACGACGGGUCACAAAUGUCAUGAAAAACAUGACCACGCACCUGUCCGCAACCAUUCGUGUAACCGCGAGGGUCGGCUCUGAUACCAACUUGUAACGCCCCGGACACACCCGCCGGUGGUCGUUACUCCUGGCGGGAUCUAGACUGGCCCCACAGAUCAAUACUAGUCUUUUCUGCACACUUUGUCCUCACUCAUGCGCACCCGGGAGAAACUUCCCGGUCGGUCACCCAUCCUGACACUACUCCAAGCUGAGCAUGCUUAACUUUGAAGUUCUGUCCGAAUGGGCUUCCGGAAAAGAAGGAAUUCCUUAUUGAUAUGAGUAGUCUAUCAUCCCUAAUAAGCCAGGCCAUCACAAUCUAUACUAGUAUUGCUCAAUGCACAUUCAGCCUGAUUGGCAUAUUUGUAGGUUUCGCACAGCAAUCCAAAUGAAAUGUCUCCGAGUCUUAUCAAUUAAUACAGACUUGUGCUCAAAUAAAAUUACAAACAAAAAAACAAAAAAAAACAA